RNAcentral lists this long non-coding RNA (66320 nucleotides) under Sorghum bicolor (sorghum). Its description in RNAcentral is "long non-coding RNA (SBIC_LNC004790)". The record is from RNAcentral. Lineage: Eukaryota; Viridiplantae; Streptophyta; Magnoliopsida; Poales; Poaceae.
GGUGUUGGUUGCAUUUGGAUCCUUUUCUUUAUUUAUUUGAUGAUUAUAUUUGGUACUUAAGGACCGUCAACAACUCCCCCAAGCUUACCUCUUGCUCGUCCCUGACAAAGGAUGGACUCAAGAGUUUCUGCAGUGGUUUCAUGUCUUAAAGGUACACAUGCGUUCAAACAAGAUCUCAUCUCUAGGUCAGGGUAAAUUGUUAAGAUUUAAACUUACUCAUAUUACCUUCCCUCAUGGGGCUUGUAACCGUCACUUGUGUCUUGAGUAGUUAAAGGAUAGAACGGUCAAGUCCAGCGCCAUGUCUCUUGUUUUUGAUCAACUAUAGCUCUAGAGUUUUGGCAGAUUUUCAUAUAAAACUCAGAGAUUCCUUUGUAUGACUCUCUCAGAUCUCUCUUUUGUUGUAUUUCUGGAUACUUACCAAGGCAGUGAUGGUAUAUGCCUUCUCUCAAAGUAUGUAGUAUUUGUGGUAUAAGGCAUAGUGACAUUGCCUUCUCUCUCACCCUACUCUAAUAAGGCUUGAUAUCUGGAGCUCAUAGGUGGGACAUAAAGUAUACAUACUUACAAGACAUUUAGUGCAUAGUCAAACCAUGGAUCGAGAAGAACAGGUCAAUAAGUCAAAUCAAGAUGUGCAUGUGUGGCGAAUGAAUGGUGUAUGGUGAUGAUGGUGAUAAUGGUGAAAACAAUGGUCAAAGUCUAAUUCUACGUUUGCUCUUUUGAGGGGAUAUAUACCUUACUUGCACUUUGAAACUUUUUGAGGGGAAUGAGAUGCUCUAUAUUUUCUUUUUCUUUUCUCUCAGGUGGGUAUCUUGUACCCCUAAUUCUACUAUCGGACACUUGUCCAUUUUUACCUCUCGUCUCACUUUUUCUUUUUUCGAGGUUUCAGGCACUUGCCCCUUUUUAUUUCCUCGUAUUCAUAUUUUUUUUCAGAGCACUCAUCCUCCUAGAAUAAUGUAGCCAGUGGUAGUAACCAAAAUAUCUUGAGCAUUUAUUUCAUGAGGAAUAACAGGGAUAGUAUAAUGUUUUUGGCUAUUCUCUCCUAGAUAGGAGUAGAAUAAUUUUAAGUGAAUCUGGAGAUGGAAAUGUGUGGAUGUAUCUGGAUGCGUACUUCUGGACUAGAAGCAGCAUGUAUGAGUGAGCGUGCAAGUGAAUCUUGAUCUUAACCGUAUGACAACCUCCUAAGGGUCUACACAGCUUGACCACACUCAAUGCUCAUUUGUAGUAAAAAGAUGUAAAUGUAUAGUUCAUAGUCUAGCAAGCAUGUAUGUAUGGCCGUGGUGGGAAUUUAAACUCUCAUCAUAUAGGAACUCAUCAUGCAAUAUUUUAAAGAUUUUUAUAGAUAAAAUUCUCUAGAAUUCUAGCAUCUCUAGGAACAGAUAAACAACAGCUCAACCUUCCCAUAUCAUAUCCAUUAACGAUUUAGACUUUAGAUCAAGUACUCUUUCCACAAGUUCAGGUUUAGAGCAAAUCUUAAUUCAUAACAGUCAUGCCUAAACUUGAGAGAGAUUUCAAUUUUGAGAACUAGUCAUGGUAGAGCAACUAUUCAUCAUUUCCAUGUGAGAGCUUAUCAUGAGGGUUCAUAGCAAACUUUAUUUAUUUAUUUAGUAAACUAAGCAAAGAUAUAUAUAAGCACAAAAUCUUUAUUUGGGUUUUUAUGAUUAUGUAUCUUUUUAUUAUUUGAGUAAAGUAUAAAUACGAGUAGAAACACUCAGGUGGAUAAAUGGGGGUGCUCUCCUCCAAGCUGGAUUUUGACAUAAUUUCUUGUGAUGUAGCUAGCAGGUGACGAGGUGUAUUUGAAUUUCGGCAGCACCCUGACAGCGAUUAGGAUGUCCUCUGUAUGCUAGUUUUCUUGAUCCUUGAAUUCUUACGGCGAGGGUUCAAUGUUUUAAGUCUUUUGAACAAGACUUCUCACCGUGUUCAUUCUUUAGGUGCGUCAUUUGAUUCAGGUGUGGACCUUGAUGUCUGCACCUCUUGAUACGGUGUCACCCAUGUUCUUCGUUUGCCCAGCAGUUCAAAGUGUGGCGUUGGCAGCAUCUUGCUUAGUGUGUUUGUGCUCGUAGAUCCAUGUCCUUCACUUGGUGGAGUCUAGGAGUUGUAAAACUCCUCCAUGUUUUGCUCGAAGUGUACCUGCUCAUAGAGACAAGGCAGAGAUCAAGUGCAUGGGCCCUGUUGGUGGAAAACACCAACAGAACCAAAAGUGUAUUUGUUCUUCUCUAACCUUAAGCAUAGUGAGCAAGACAAAGUUGAUAAGAUCAUGAGUGUAGCAUUUAAAACAUUUUUUUAGAUCAGAUCGCUCAAUCUAGUGGUAAGAUAAUCUAUCUAUAUUUAUGUUUUUUAAUAUAUCUUCCAAAGAUUGAGUGUGCAACAUUUUAGCUCAUAUGAUUAGGAGUGUGGGAUCACAAAGGUGGAAGGACUAAACAUGUUGAAUCGAUUGGGUUGGUUAAUCUAGAGUUGUAAAUCAUACAUGUUUCUCUCUUUUAUUCAUAUGAACGCCAGAACCAAGGAGAAGCUUAUAAAAGUGAUAGUCAAGUACCUCAAGAUGUUACCUUACUUGAAGAGUGAUGGUAUAGUAUCACCUUGUGGAAGCUUUCCUUUCUUAGUGGUUGUGCAUCGUGUUUGUGGCACCCUCCAUGGAUCAUCUCUUAUGAGCUAUGUCUUCCAUGUGUAAAUUGUUAAACUUCAUGUGUCUCUCUCUUUGUCUCUAAUGUGAGUUUAUCUCAAGAAUUCCCAGGUCGAUAUUGAAAGUUUUCCUGCAGGGGUUAGUACAACAAAAUAUCCAAUAUCUACAAUAGCAUACUAUCGGCUCAAAAAUCAACCUAGACACCAUGUCUAAUUUGAUUUAGGAGGGCAUUUUAUCCUAAGCACCAUGCUUAAUUUAAAAUCCCUUGGAAGUAAGAUCAUCAUUCCUAAACUAAGCACCAUGCUUAUUUAAGAGAUAAAUGAAACUACUCCAAACCUAGACAUAUACUAAAGCAAAUAAAGGUAGCAUGAGAGAAUUUAUAGAGAUCUGCUCAAGUGGAGAUGAAGUAGUGUGAUUAGUAUUUAACAAAUUGAGCAUGUCUCAAAGGUAGGGACAACCAACAUAGUAACAUGGCAAAGGAUGUUUUUAUGUAAAGUACUCCCCCAAGCUUGAAUUUUGCAAAAUUCAAGUUUGGAUGAAUUUAAUUCAAUGUUGUAUGAUGAUUGGAUGGACAUAUCUUGUGCUUGUCAUUUAUCCGAUCUUCUUGCUCCAAUCCUGGAAAGGUUAGUGACAAGAAUACCCAAAGGAAUAUUUUUACAAUUAUCCUUAUAUGCUCAAUACACAAGGCAAUAGGGCAAGGUCAUGUUACGAUCUGAUAAGCGCUUAUUUUAGGACACUAAGCUUGUCCUUGGGAAACCAUUAGUUUAUGUUGGCGAAGUGGUUUCCCCUCUGAUACCAACCUUUGUAUAUCAAGAUUAGCUCAACGAGAUCUGCAAUAUUUAUUAUAGACAUAUGCAUUGACAACCGCCCUUUUAAAGUUUUUGUAAAUAGAAAGGAAGAGGGGGUUGGAGAUCUCAAAUGUGGUGAUGUUGGAGAGACCAAUAGAUUGGGAAGAUGUUUCAUAUGAGCAUGGAGUAAACGAAGUGGCUAUGAAAUAAAUUCCAUUGUCAUUAAUGUUAUCUUCGUCUCUAAUCUGAAUGUUUAGAGUUUCUCUUGGAUUGGUCCCGUCUAUGUCCUCUUCUAUAGAUGGAUGAAUCUCAUAUUCAAGGGGAGUUAAAGACUCAACAUCUGAAAUUGAGCCAAGGUCAGAAUCCAUUGAGGCUUCUUCCUUGUCCAUCCAUUCUACACAUUCCAUCCAUUUAGAACUUGUGAUCAGGAAAGAGGGGGUGUUAGAAUUUUUUAUAUGGCUUAGCUCUCCUUCUAUGACAUUACUUGACAUGUCAUCCUCAUGGUCUUUAUGAUUCCUAUGGUUUGAUCGUCUUGAUGGAUUGCUAGGAUCAUCAUGAGACUGAAAAGGAGAGGGAUAAGAAGGGUCUCUAAGGUAAAGGAUGGAUUUAGAAUUUAUGAACAUGGAAGGGGAGCAGAUAGAAUCUUCUAUAUGGUUUAGCUCUCCUUCACUUGAUAUGUCAUCCUCGACUUCUUCAUAACAGGAACCAAAGCAUUCUCUAAGAGAACCAUUAUUGCAAGGAUUUGAAUUAUCCCUGCUUCAAGGUCUCUUAUAGAACCAGAAGUCUAAACCAUCUGCAUCUGAAAGAUUUAAGGUUGGAAUUGCUUCCUCCCUUUGAGAAUUUGGGGGUAUUGAUGGUUUAGGAUCGAUAGCUAAAGUUUGGGAUUGAAGUGGUUGUAAUUUGGCAAUCGAAACUUCUCUUCUGGUCUAGGAACUGAUUCUUUCUCUUUCUCAUGGAUAUAAGUGCUAGGAGACUUUCCGCUCAUUAAAUCAAUCAAAUUCCAAGCUUCACUAGCGGUCAGGCGGUGGAAAGAUCCUCUAGAGGCCGCAUUAAGUGUUUGCUUAUUUUCCCUACUAAGGCCCUUUAAAAAGUGAAUUAGAAGAACUUCUUCUGGAAUAGAAAGAUUUGGGCCAGUGAGAGUAAGGUCAAUAAGGCGGUCCCAUGAUUCGCCAAGAGAUUCUUCUUCUAGUUGUCUAAAAGAAAGAAUCUCGAUCCGAAGAUCCACCACUUUGGAGAUCAGAAAAUAUUUAAAAAGAAAACUAUUGUAUAGCUCCUUCCAAUCUCCAUGAGCACUUCCUAUGUUGAGUUUAUACCAAUAUCUAGCUUUUCCCGUAAUUAAAGAGAACGGAAAGAGCUUCCAUUUAAGGGUCUCAUCGGACAUGCCUUCAAUGCGAAGGAGGUCACAGACUCGAUAAAACUCUCUUAGGUGUGUGUAUGGGUUUUCCUCACCUUCUCCUGAGAAAGGUUGUUUUUGAACAAAUUCUAUGUAUUCCGGGCUUAUCUCAAAACUAGAUGUCAUGAUAGGCUUUGAAGAUUUUGGGGGUUUGAGAUGUGUGCCCGUAGGUCUAUGAAACUGAUCUAUAGACAAGUUUGCAUUCAUGAUAGACCAGAAAUCAAGGAUUAGAUAAGAAGAAAGAAUAGCAGAGAUGAGGCAAAGGAUAAAAGGAAUAUAUAUUAUUUAUAUAUAUUUUUGAAAAAAAAGAUUAAGCUAGUUCGUAGUCAACUCAGCAACCGUCUCCCCGGCAACGGAGCCAAAAAAACUUGUUGACACUUGCUAACACCACUUGAAUACUAGGUUGUCAUCCCUAGUAUGGUACUAGAGUGUACUAUGGUAUUUAUACGCACACAGAUAAAUCCGCAAGCGCAUGGAUACUGUUGUAGCUUUUACUCGGUUUAAGGUUUUAUCGUAUCCACAGGAAAACGGGAGAACCAACUAUGCUCUAACGUGACCAAGAUAGAUAGAUAGGUGUAAAUAGGAAAGAUGGUAGAAUUGAAUAAGAAUAAUAUUAAAGGUAAGAUAACAAUGGGUGAUAAUAUGGGAAUAGAGAGUAGAGCAAUCUUGUAUAUGGACGAUAAUAGGAGAAUAGAGAGGAUAACUAGGGUUUCUCCACUUCAAAGGGGUAUGUCUGUCUGUGGCGUACCAUAAGUAUAAAACAACACAGAGGAUGCUUAUACCUAAGGUCGAGGACUCCUACGAGUCCUGCUAAUGGGAGAUGGACUACAGAGGACUACGUAGCUGUCACCUACGCGGCCUACCACAUGAUCCGGCUAACAGGGGAUAUCCACAAGUAAUCUAGGCCUAAGCACCACGCUUACACCUAUACUACAACUCUCACCUAUAGCGUCCUAUAGAUUAAAGUACUCAAAAGAGUUGUGAACCAGAACAUACAUGGAUAGUAAUUGCAUAAUGAAAUAAAAGUAGAUUACCAGAGUCAUCCCAUAACCAAGCUUGAUUAGAGCUUGAUCAUGGCGAAGUACAACCGGAGGAAGAACCGAUAGGCCAGCCUCUCCUCCAAUCCUCCCUCGCUCUCCAUCUCGCUACUAUCUAGAUCUACUCUAGUUUAGAGAUGAGAGGAGAGCUCUCAUCUCCAAACCCUAGCUUUUGCUCUAUCUAUGAAUAAUGAAUAAGGAUUUAGAGGUCGUCUCCUCCAGGGGCCAGGGGGGCUUGCUUAUAUAGCCCUUCCAAAUGAACAUGGGUCGUCGGAUCAAACCGACCUUAAUCGCACAGUUUUCCUUGAUCCUCAAAGGCAGUGGAGCAUAAUCUGCGAGACUCAGCCUGAUUGGCUACUGAGCCAGGGCAGGCGCCCUAGGGGGGAGGCCGGGUGCCCUGUCCCCGAGCCCGCUCGGCUUCCCGUUCGUUCCAGUGGCUUCUAGAGUCUUCUAGAUGAUAGAAAAUUGCGCAGCACGUUAAUAUCUCUAUGUAAACCCGACAUGUGGGCCUUUCCUCCAUAUUUCCUGAUAACCCCCUGCCGAAAUAGACAAACACCAAAACUCAUGGAAUUCUAUCAGAUAAAACCCUAAGUCUGGGUGUUGGUUGCAUUUGGAUCCUUUUCCUUAUUUAUUUGAUGAUUAUAUUUGGUACUUAAGGACCGUCAACAAAAGGCUAUGGCGCGGAAGGGUUGUAGGACAUGAAAAUGAUAUGGCACUGGACUUAUGGGACGAACACAAGAACACUCGAAACUAAGGGUAGAUGUGAACCUAACGGUAUACCUGAAGCUUUGAUUACCACUUGAUGAGAACAAGGGUGGCCCGAUCUUCUGAAAGGUUCUCGUAACUCUCGAUUUGGUGAAGACGAGACACAAAUCUAUGUGGCUUCCGAACAACACGAUCCGAAACCCCGCAUUUUUUUAUUUUUUUAAUAUUUUUCAUUUACUUAAGAGCACUAAAGAAGUAACCACAGAAAAUUUGAGCUUAAUCAAGUAAAAGACGUGGCCUGCGGAAUUUUGUGAAGAUUACAAAAAAUGUGAAAAAAACUUCACAAGGUGAAAACUCAAAAUUCGAAGACGAAUUUGGAGAUUCUAAAAUUUUCAAACCCCCUAAAACUGAGGACAGACAGACACUAAAUUUUUUUCUGAUCGAUUUUGAUAUAUGGAACAUUGAAAUCGGAGUUUGUAUGUGAAAGUUAUGGCUGUUUUACGAACGGACUCCGAAUUUGAGGACAAAACGGUCCGAAAGUGGGAAAAAGUAGCGUCGAUGGCUAGAAAUUGAUGGAAACGGUGGGGAAAAACACAAACUGGACUCUAACAAGACCUAACCAGCAACAAGACCUCGUCCAGGACACAAACUCAAAACUGCGGACUCAGAAACUGAAAUAUGCAAAGGCUAUGGCGCGGAAGGGUUGUAGGACACAAAAAUGAUAUGGCACUGGACUUAUGGGACAAACACAAGAACACUCGAAACUAAGGGUAGAUGUGAACCUAACGUUAUACCUGAACCUUUGAUUACCACUUGAUGAGAACAAGGGUGGCCCGAUCUUCCAAAAGGUUCUGUUAACUCUCGAUUUCGUGGAGACGAGACACAAAUCGAUCCGGCUUUCGAACAACACGAUCCGAAACCCUGCAAUUUUUUUUAUUUUUUUGAUAUUUUUCUUUUACUUAGGUGCACUAAAGAAGUAACCACAGAAAAUUUGAGCUUAAAUAAGUGAAAGACGUGGCCUGCGGAAUUUUCUAAAUUUUGUGAAAAAAGUGAAAAAAACUUCACGAGGUGAAAACUUAAACUUCGGAGUCGUAUUUCGAAAUUCUAAAAUUUUCAAAACCGCUAGUGGUAGGGACAGGCAGACCCAAAAUUUUUUUCUGAUUGAUUUUGAUAUAUGGAACGUUGAAAUCGGAGUUCGUACGUGAAUUGUAUGGCUAUUUUACGAACGGACUCCGAAUUAGAGAACAAAACGGUCCGAAAGUGGGAAAAAUUUGUGGCGAUGGCUAGAAAUUGAUGGAAACGGUGGGGAAAAACAUACUAACUGGACUCUAACAAGUCCUAACCAGCAACAACCUCGACCAGGACACAAACUCAAAACUGCGGACUCUGAAUCUGAAAUAUGCAAAAGCUUUGGCGCGGAAGGUUGUAGAACAGGAAAACAAUAUGGCACUGGACUUAGACGAACAUAAGAACACUCGAAACUAAGGGUAGAUGUGAACCUAACGGUAUACCUAAAGCUUUGAUUACCACUUGAUGAGAACAAGGGUGGCCCAAUCUUCCGAAAAGUUCUAGUAACUCUCGAUUUGGUGGAGACGAGACACAAAUCCAUACAGCUUCUGAACAACACGAUCCGAAACCCUGCAUUUUUUUAUUUUAUUGAUAUUUUUAUUUUACUUAGGAAUGCUAAAGGAGUAACCAUAGAAAAUUUGAGCUUAAGCAAGUGAAAGACAUGGCCUGUGGAAUUUUCUGAAGAUUGUGAAAAAUGUGAAAAAACUUCACGUAUUGGAAACUCAAACUUCGGAGGCGAAUUUCAGGAUUCUAAAAUUGUCAAACCCGCGAAAGUUAGGGACAAACAGAUUUGAAAUUUUUUUCUGAUCUAUUUUGAUACAUGAAACGUUCAAAUUGGAGUUCGUAUGCAAAGGUUAUCGCUGUUUUACGAACAGACUUCAAAUUUGAGGACAAAACGGUCCGAAAGUGGGAAAAUUUUGCGGCGGUGGCAAGAAAUUGAUGGAAACGGUGGGGAAAAGAUAUGAACUGGACUCUAACAAGACCUAACCAGCAACAAGACCUCGACCAGGACACAAACUCAACACUGCGGACUCUGAAACUGAAAUAUGCAAAGGCUAUGGCGGGGAAGGGUUGUAGGACAGGAAAACGAUAUGGCACUGGACUUAUGGGACGAACACAAGAACACUCAAAACUAACGGUAUACCUGAAGCUUUGAUUACCACUUGAUGAGAACAAGGGUGGCCCGAUCUUCUGAAAGGUUCUCGUAACUCUCAAUUUGGUGAAGACGAGACACAAAUCGAUGUGGCUUCCGAACAACACGAUCCGAAACCCCGCAUUUUUUUAUUUUUUUUAAUAAUUUCCUUUUACUUAGGAGCACUAAAGAAGUAACCACAUAAAAUUUGAGCUUAAUCAAGUAAAAGACGUGGCCUGCAAAAUUUUGUAAAUAUUACAAAAAAUGUGAAAAAAACUUCACAAGGUGAAAACUCAAACUUCGAAGACGAAUUUGGAGAUUCUAAAAUUUUCAAACCCCCUAAAACCGAGGACAGACAGACACUAAAUUUUUUUCUAAUCGAUUUUGAUAUAUGGAACAUUGAAAUCGGAGUUUGUAUGUGAAAGUUAUGGCUGUUUUACGAACGGACUCCGAAUUAGAGGACAAAACGGUCCGAAAGUGGGAAAAAGUUGCGGCGAUGGCUAGAAAUUGAUGGAAACGGUGGGAAAAAAAACACAAACUGGACUCUAACAAGACCUAACCAGCAACAAGACCUCGACCAGACACAAACUCAAAACUGCGGACUCGGAAACUGAAAUAUGCAAAGGCUAUGGCGCGGAAGGGUUGUAGGACAGAAAAAUGAUAUGGCACUGGACUUAUGGUACAAACACAAGAACACUCGAAACUAAGGGUAGAUGUGAACCUAACGGUAUACCUGAAGCUUUGAUUACCACUUGAUGAAAACAAGGGUGGCCCGAUCUUCCGAAAGGUUCUAUUAACUCUCGAUUUGGUGGAGAUGAGACACAAAUCGAUCCGGCUUCCGAACAACACGAUCCGAAACCCUGCAAUUUUUUUUUAUUUUUUUGAUAUUUUUCUUUUACUUAGGUGCACUAAAGAAGUAACCACAGAAAAUUUGAGCUUAAACAAGUGAAAGACGUGGCCUGCGAAAUUUUCUAAAUUUUGUGAAAAAAGUUUAAAAAACUUCACGAGGUGAAAACUUAAACUUCGGAGGCGUAUUUGGAAAUUCUAAAAUUUUCAAACCCGCUAGUGGUAGGGACAGGCAAACCCAAAAAAAUUUUUCUGAUUGAUUUUGAUAUAUGGAACGUUGAAAUCGGAGUUCGUACGCGAAUGUUAUGGCUAUUUUACGAACGGACUCUGAAUUAGAGAACAAAACGGUCCGAAAGUGGGAAAAAUUUGUGGCGAUGGCUAGAAAUUGAUGGAAACGGUGGGGAAAAACAUACUAACUGGUCUCUAACAAGACCUAACCAGCAACAACCUCGACCAGGACACAAACUCAAAACUGCAGACUCUGAAUCUGAAAUAUGCAAAAGCUAUGGCGCGGAAGGGUUGUAGAACAGGAAAACAAUAUGGCACUGGACUUAUGGGACGAACACAAGAACACUCGAAACUAAGGGUAGAUGUGAACCUAACGGUAUACCUAAAGCUUUGAUUACCACUUGAUGAGAACAAGGGUGGCCCGAUCUUCCGAAAAGUUCUGGUAACUCUCGAUUUGGUGGAGACGAGACACAAAUCGAUACAGCUUCUGAAUAACACGAUCCGAAACCCUACAUUUUUUUAUUUUUUUGAAAUUUUUAUUUUACUUAGGAGUGCUAAAGGAGUAACCACAGAAAAUUUGAGCUUAAGCAAGUGACAGACAUGGCCUGUUGAAUUUUCUGAAGAUUGUGAAAAAUGUGAAAAAACUUCACGUAUUGGAAACUCAAACUUCGGAGGCGAAUUUCAGGAUUCUAAAAUUGUCAAACCUGCGAAAGUUAGGGACAAACAGAUUUGAAAUUUUUUCUGAUUUAUUUUGAUAUAUGAAACGUUGAAAUCGGAGUUCGUAUGCGAAGGUUAUGGCUAUUUUACGAACAGACUUCGAAUUAGAGGACAAAACGGUCCGAAAGUGGGAAAAUUUUGCGGCGGUGGCAAGAAAUUGAUGGAAACGGUGGGGAAAAGAUAUGAACUGGACUCUAACAAGACCUAACCAGCAACAAAACCUCGACCAGGACACAAACUCAACACUGCAGACUCUGAAACUGAAAUAUGCAAAGGCUAUGGCGUGGAAGGGUUGUAGGACAGGAAAACGAUAUGGCACUAGACUUAUGGGACGAACACAAGAACACUCAAAACUAACGGUAGAUGUGAACCUAACGGUAUACCUGAAGCUUUGAUUACCACUUGAUGAGAACAAGGGUGGCCCGAUCUUCUGAAAGGUUCUCAUAACUCUCGAUUUGGUGAAGACGAGACACAAAUCGAUCUGGCUUCCAAACAACACAAUCCGAAACCCCGCAUUUUUUUAUUUUUUUAAUAUUUUCCUUUUACUUAGGAGCACUAAAGAAGUAACCACAUAAAAUUUGAGCUUAAUCAAGUAAAAGACGUGGCCUGCGGAAUUUUGUGAAGAUUACAAAAAAUGUGAAAAAAACUUCACAAGGUGAAAACUCAAACUUCGAAGACGAAUUUGGAGAUUCUAAAAUUUUCAAACCCCCCAAAACCGAGGACAGAUAGACACUAAAUUUUUUUCUCAUCGAUUUUGAUAUAUGGAACAUUGAAAUCGGAGUUUGUAUGUGAAAGUUAUGGCUGUUUUACGAACGGACUCCGAAUUAGAGGACAAAACGGUCUGAAAGUGCGAAAAAGGUUCGGCGAUGGCUAGAAAUUUAUGGAAACGGAGGGAAAAAAAUACAAACUGGACUCUAACAAGACCUAACCAGCAACAAGACCUCGACCAGGACACAAACUCAAAACUGCGGACUCGGAAACUGAAAUAUGCAAAGGCUAUGGCGCGGAAGGGUUGUAGGACACAAAAAUGAUAUGGCACUGGACUUAUGGGACAAACACAAGAACACUCGAAACUAAGGGUAGAGGUGAACCUAACGGUAUACCUGAAGCUUUGAUUACCACUUCAUGAGAACAAGGGUGGCCCGAUCUUCCGAAAGGUUCUGUUAACUCUCGAUUUGGUGGAGACGAGACACAAAUCGAUCCGGCUUCCGAACAACACGAUCCGAAACCCUGCAAUUUUUUUUAUUUUUUUGAUAUUUUUCUUUUACUUAGGUGCAUUAAAGAAGUAACCACAGAAAAUAUGAGCUUAAACAAGUGAAAGACGUGGCCUGCGGAAUUUUCUAAAUUUUGUGAAAAUGUGAAAAAAACUUCACGAGGUGAAAACUUAAACUUCGGAGGCGUAUUUGGAAAUUCUAAAAUUUUCAAACCCGCUAGUGGUAGGGACAGGUAGACCCGAAAUUUUUUUCUGAUUGAUUUUGAUAUAUGGAACGUUGAAAUCGGAGUUCGUACGCGAAUGUUAUGCUAUUUUACGAACGGACUCCAAAUUAGAGAACAAAACGGUCCGAAAGUGGGAAAAAUUUGCGGCGAUGGCUAGAAAUUGAUGAAAACGGUGGGGAAAAACAUACUAACUGAACUCUAACAAGACCCAACCAGCAACAACCUCGAUCAGGACACAAACUCAAAACUGCGGACUCUCAAUCUAAAAUAUGUAAAAGCUAUGGCGCGGAAGGGUUGUAGAACAGGAAAACAAUAUGGCACUGGACUUAUGGGACGAACACAAGAACACUAGAAACUAUGAGUAGUUGUGAACCUAGCGGUAUACCUAAAGCUUUGAUUAACACUUGAUGAGAACAAGGGUGGCCCGAUCUUCCGAAAAGUUCUGUUAACUCUCGAUUUGGUGGAGACGAGACACAAAUCGAUACAGCUUCUGAACAACACGAUUCGAAACCCUAUAUUUUUUUAUUUUUUUUGAUAUUUUUAUUUUACUUAGGAGUGCUAAAGGAGUAACCACAGAAAAUUUGAGCUUAAGCAAGUGAAAGACAUGGCCUGUGGAAUUUUCUGAAGAUUGUGAAAAAUAUGAAAAAACUUCACGUAUUAGAAACUCAAACUUCGGAGGCGAAUUUUAGGAUUCUAAAAGUGUCAAACCCGCGAAACUUAGGGACAACCAGAUCUGAAUUUUUUUUCUGAUCGAUUUUGAUAUAUGAAACCUUGAAAUCGGAGUUCGUAUGCGAAAGUUAUGGCUGUUUUACGAGCAGACUUCGAAUUAGAGGACAAAACGGUCCGAAAGUGGAAAAAUUUUGCGCCGGUGGCCAGAAAUUGAUGGAAACGGUGGGGAAAACACAUGAACUGGACUCUAACAAGACCUAACCAGCAACAAGACCUCGACUAGGACACAAACUCAACACUGCGGACUCUGAAACUGAAAUAUGCAAAGGCAAUGGCGCGGAAGGGUUGUAGGACAGGAAAACUAUAUAGCACUGGACUUAUGGAACGAACACAAGAACACUCAAAACUAAGGGUAGAUGUGAACCUAAUGGUAUACAUGAAGCUUUGAUUACCAUUUGAUGAGAACAAGGGUGGCCCAAUCUUCCGAAAAGUUCUAGUAACUCUCGAUUUGGUGGAGACGAGACACAAAUCGAUAUGGCUUCCGAACAACACGAUCCGAAACCCCGCAUUUUUUUUAUUUUUUUAAUAUUUUCCUUUUACUUAGGAGCACUAAAGAAGUAACCACAGAAAAUUUGAACUUAAUCGAGUAAAAGACGUGGCCUGCGGAAUUUUGUGAAGAUUACAAAAAAUGUGAAAAAAACUUCACAAGGUGAAAACUCAAACUUCGAAGACGAAUUUGGAGAUCCUAAAUUUUCAAACCCCCUAAAACCGAGGACAGACAGACACUAUAUUUUUUCUGAUCGAUUUUGAUAUAUGGAACAUUGAAAUCGAAGUUUGUAUGUGAAAGUUAUGGCUGUUUUACGAACGGACUCCGAAUUAGAGGACAAAACGGUCCGAAAGUGGGAAAAUUUUGCGGCGGUGGCAAGAAAUUGAUGGAAACGGUGGGAAAAACACAUGAACUGGACUCUAACAAGACCUAACCAGCAACAAGACCUCGACCAGAACACAAAAUCAACACUGCGGACUCUGAAACUAAAAUAUGCAAAGGUUAUGGCGCGGAAGGGUUGUAGGACAGGAAAACGAUAUGGCACUGGACUUAUGGGACGAACACAAGAACACUCAAAACUAAGGGUAGAUGUGAACCUAACGGUAUACCUGAAGCUUUGAUUACCACUUGAUAAGAACAAGGAUGGCCCGAUCUUCUGAAAGGUUCUGGUAACUCUUGAUUUGGUGGAGACGAGACACAAAUUGAUCCGUCUUCCGAACAACACGAUCCGAAACCCUGCAAUUUUUUUAUUUUUUUGAUAUUUUUCUAUUACUUAGGUGCACUAAAGAAGUAACCAUAGAAAAUUUGAGCUUAAACAAGUGAAAGACGUGGCCUGCAGAAUUUUUUGAAGAUUGCGAAAAAUGUGAAAAAAACAUCACGAGGUGAAAACUCAAAAUUUGGAGGCGAAUUUGGAGAUUAUAAAAUUUUCAAACCUGCCAAUAGCGAGGACAGACAGAUCCGAAAUUCGUUUCUGAUCAAUUUUGAUAUAUGGAACGUUGAAAUCAGAGUUCGUAUGUGAAAGUUAUGGCUCUUUUACGAACGGACUCCGAAUUAGAAGACAAAACGGUCCGGAAGUGGGAAUAAUUUGUGGUGGUGGCUAGAAAUUGAUGGAAAUGGUGGGCAAAAACAUACCAACUAGACUCUAACAAGACCUAACCAGCAACAUCCUCGACCAGGACAUAAACUCAAAAUUGCGGACUCUGAAACUGAAAUAUGCAAAGGCUAUUGCGCGGAAGGGUUGUAGGACAAGAAAACGAUAUGGCACUGGACUUAUGGGACGAAUACAAGAACACUCGAAACUAAGGGUAGAUGUGAACCUAACGGUAUACCUGAAGCUUUAUUACCACUUGAUGAGAUCAAGGGUGGCCCGAUCUUUCGACAGGUUCUGGUAACUCUCGAUUUGGUGGAGACGAGACACAAAUCAAUGCGGCUUCCAAACAACGCGAUCUGAAACCCUGCAAUUCUUUUAUUUUAUUGAUAUUUUUAUUUUACUUAGGAGCAUUAAAGAAGUAACCAUAGAAAAUUUGAGCUUAAACAAGUAAAAGACGUGGCCUGCUGAAUUUUCUGAAGAUUGCGAAAAAUGUGAAAAAAACUUCACAAGGUGAAAACUCAAACUUCGGAGGUGAAUUUGGAGAAUCUAAAACUUUCAAACCCGCAAAUAGCAGUGACAGACAGAUCCGAAUUUUUUUGAUCGAUUUUGAUAUAUCGAACAUUGAAAUCGGAGUUUGUAUGUGCAAGUUAUGGCUGUUUUACGAACGGACUCCGAAUUAGAGGACAAAACGGUCCGAAAGUGGGAAAAACUUGCAGCGAUGGCUAGAAAUUGAUGGAAACGUUGGGGAAAAAACACGAACUGGACUCUAACAAGACCUAACCAGCAACAAGACCUCGACCAGGACACAAACUCAAAACUGCAGACUCGGAAACUGAAAUAUGCAAAGGCUAUGUUAUGAUUUAAUCUUUUUAUUUAAGUGUAAAUUCAUAUCUUUUGGGUAUACUGCUCCAACUGCUGUGAAAAUUUUAUGGUAGGCUCUGAGUGAUAUGAGAAUGCUAUGUUAAAUAUUUCAUGAUUUUUGGAGUACUGUAUCUUUGAUAUGUAAUUUUUAUUUGUGAUAUGGCUUGUUUCCAUAUUUAAAUCAUAAUAAAUGUUUGAUGUAAUUUAUGUUAAUACUAUGGCCUAAAUCCAUGUUUAAAUCAUAUUAAAUGCUACAUGCUUAUGCUGGUAUUCUUCUUUUGUGUCAAGCUUGUUUAUAGUAGUAGUAACAUGUAAAUAAUCUGAAAUCUGUUGUUUGACACUAUUUAAGCCAUGAUUCUUAAUUUAUGAAAUAAGCACCUUGUUACAUGUUAAUUAAAUACCUUAAGUUUGGCAUGUGCAAUUGCUCUGAAACUUUUAUGGUAAUAUCAAUGUGCCUUGCUUGUGCUUCAGUAAUUUUUAUAGAGUUUUCUGAGCACUCUUGCUGGUAUCUUUUAAUUAUGUUCUUUUUAUAGAAUUAAAUUAAUAAAUACCUUUUUAUUGAGUGUUUAGUUGCCAACAUGUGGUUUUCUGGUAAUCUUAGGAUAUGCUUGUGCUUAUGAACCACUUGGUUGGUACUAAAUAUGUUUUUCUAUGUCACCAAAGAAUUAAUUAAAGGUUAUAAAGCUGUUCUGGACAGCAAGGGAGUAAUCUGUUUGUUGUCUAAUGAUAACUUCGCUUUCUGAAAGACUUGUCUAUAGCAAAGACAGUGUAACCUUUGUAUUCUAGCUGCAGUUUAAAUUUGGGGUCAUUUGGCCCAGUAGUUUAAAAGUUAUGGCUUUUCUAAGCUAAGUUCCAAACUAGGUGCUCUCUGUCUUUCUGGAACAAAACCUGGAACUUUGUUUAGUUGACCUAUUUAACUUAUGAAUCUUGUUGUGAUGUCUAAAGAUGAAAUGUAAACAAUUUCAUAAGCUUCCCAGAAUGUCCUCAUUCAUGUUUGUUGGGUCUAUAUAUCUUGAGUUAUGAAAUGUUGUUUGAGCUGCUCUGUUAAUUAGUUGUUGCUGUUAAUGGUAUAAGCUGGUUUGUUCUUGUUAGUUGAGGUGAUACUCUUUUGUGAGCUUAUAAUAGAAGCUUACUCCAUAAAUGAGUGUCCAGUGACGUUUAUAAUCAUGUCACCAAGCAUUCAUCAUCAUCUUGUGUGCACACAUUCCUUACUUAUCGUGCAUGCAAUAGGUGCAUCGGAAGUCGCAGCAUCGUUCGAGCUCGAGAGGGUGAAUCCCGAAGGCCCGGAGGUCACCUAGGAGACGGAGGUGCAGCCAGCAGGACAAGAGGAGCCUGAAGAGGAAGUCGAGAGCCCUAGUCACGAGCCUGCUUCGUUCGUGAAAGGCAAGCCCCGGAGCAUCUUAAGUCUCCCACUUUAAUUUCAAAGCAUACUUGAAUACUCCCUCCGUCCCUGAAAGAAUCAAUUCCUAGGAUCCGUGCCAGUCAAACUUUUUAAAGUUUGACUAACUUUAUAGAAAAGAGUAACAACAUCUAUAAUAUAAAAUACACAUUAUAUGAAAAUAUAUUUUAUGAUGAAUCUAAUAAUAUUAAUUUGAUACUAUAAAUCUUAGCAUUUUUUUCUAGAAAUUUGGUCAAAGUUUAAAAAGUUUGACUUAGGACAACUCUAGAAAUUGAUUCUUUCAGGGACGGAGGGAGUAUGUUAUAUCUAUUGAUGCAUUACGUAUAGGAGUUGUGAUGGAACCCUUGCUGCAUUAUACCUUCCCUUGUCCAGAUAUCUUAUUACUACCUGGUUGUAGAGUUAGGGUCGAGUAGCAACUUAGCCAUGCUUUAAUCAGUAGAAGUCGGGUCAUAUCCUGUCACCUGCGCGAAAUAGGGUCCGUUGUUGGAUCACGAUUGACUAUAUGUGCUAUCAUGGGAAAGAACCUGGUUAAAAUGACUUAAGCCGGGCAGAGUUUUACAUGGUGGUAGUAACUCCGUCUGUGCAGCUAAGGACCGAUCGUUGUACGUCCUCUUGUCAUGUCGAACGCAUGCCUGACACUUAGUUGGCCGGAUAACUCGUUCCGACCGCGAAGCCUAGUAGUAUGACUCAGGCCGGAAGACUGGAAAGUAUAAAGCGCGCACUACCAGAGGAAGUGUGGUGUGCGGGGGGCCAUUGGCGUAAGACCAAGGGCAGGUGAGUUAAAAGUCCUGAUCUUCCUGGCCGAGUGGCAGCCCUGGGAGUGCAGCGCCGAUCAGAGCCAUGAUUCCUGAGUCGUACCAAAGGUGACCCGCUUGCUCUCCGACGGGGGAUGCAUGGGUGAGUGCUAGGAAUAACCCUCCAGCUGGAUAGGAAUCGAUUUGAAUCGCUGUCUCUCCCGGAUAGUGAGAACUUGACAGAGCAGCGGCAAAUGUAGCAUUCACUAAGUACUAAUGGUUCUUAAUGAUGAUGUUGAGGAUAGCUAGAAAGAACAUAUGAUGGAACUUGAUAUGGUUAUUACUGUUUGCUAAUAAUCAAGUGAAGUGCUUAGUCUAGGUGCUAAUAUAGUGGUUGGCUAAUGAUAAUCAAUAUGAUGCUUUUAAGAAUGGUUUACUUUGCAAUCUAAGCUUUUUGGCAAAUUUAUGAGUCAAGCCAGCUACACUUUAUACUCAGCCUUGCAUGAUCCUUGGUGCCAGCUACACUUUAUACAUCCUCGUACUCAGGGUUUAUUCCCACCUAUUGCAGAUGAUGUCUUCUAUGAUGGCUUCUGCAAGACCUGCCUUCAUCCCGCUGGAAAUGAGGACUAAACCGUUGGGCGUGGUUCUCUAACAACUUCGUACCCUGAUGCUUUUGGUGGAUGUGAUGAGACUCUGGCAGUAACAAGAACUUAUGAAAUGUGUGUGUGAAAACUAUGUUGCUUCCGCUACUUCAAACUUGUGUUAUAAUAACUUAAGUAACUCCGAUGUGGUGCCGCUUCGUAGGCAGUGAAUGGACUAUGCAGCAAUCACUGUAUUGUGUUGAACUAUUAUGAUCUUGGUAUGUUGCAAAGUUGGUUUGAACUCCUUCGUGGUUUCGGUUGACUACCGGGAUUAUAUGGGCUCAAGUCUGGAAAGUUGAUUGCUAGUUCGAUCGUUUCUGCACUUGAACUCUUAUAAUUUGGUCGGUUAUGUGACAGUUUGUUGUCAAGAAGGGGAGAAUGAUGAGGACAUGACACCUUCAGAUAUGACCAUUGACUAUAAGAUGAGUUUAUUCCUACAUUUGUGAAAUAGUUUUUGGUAUAAUUCACUUGGUUUCACAUGUACAUGUUAUUUGUUGCAUGUAGGUACGAAUGUGUCUCAAAGUGCAAGGUCAUCAAAGCUGAAUUUUCAAUUCUCUAGUGGCCCGAUAGUGCUUUAUUGGGAAGGCCAUAACUCAUCCCUCCGGAAUGAGAUUGAGGUCAAUAAGCACUUGAUGGACAGCUUGAUUGAUAAGCUUUCAAAUAGAUUUGGUCCCACCUCAAUAAACAUUGACAAGGCCUUCAAAUUGUUAUUAUAUUCUAUUGCUAUUUCUGCCGAGAGCUACUUUAUCAUCAUGGACAUGUUUUUUAUUCUUGGGACCCUGACCCAAGUGGGAGCACAUCCCAAGGAGAAGGAGAAGCCACCAAGGGAGCCCUUGGACGUCCUCCUCCUUGUCCACCACCUUAGAAGGUCACUAAGGUCGUUCAAGCCAAGUCAGAGGCCCAAUCCAUAACUAGUUCGAGUCCAUCUCGCGCUCAACGACCAGUAUAUAGUAAAACAGACGUCCAGGACACAUCCAGACUCCAUUUUUGAUGAUCCACAUAUGGAUGGAAAGAUAAUUUCAUAAGUUAACCAAUGGCUUUGGUUGGAGGCCCAAAUUCAAUCGAGUCAACUAGAAUCAUCAAGACAAGUUGACUCUAGAAUCUGUUAGGGCGCUGCAUCACCGUCUUUUGGGCUAUUGGGCCUUGUAAUGUGUUAGGACACCUUAUGGAUGUGAAGAGGGGUCCUUAGACAUCCCUUUGGCUAUAUAAUAAGUAGCCACCACCUACAUUAGGGUUUGGGUUUUGCUUAGAUUAUUCUAUCAAGAACAGUUUUGCCGUUUUAUCGGUUUGUGAGACCCCAACUCGUGAGAUUAAAUAUUCAUGUGCAAAUUGGUUGCAUUCUUACUUGUUCUUGAUUGUGUUCUUCGAUUCACAGGCAAGGAUUAGCCUUCUUGGCAAGGUCUACCAUGCAGCACUGGUUGAUAACCAUAGAAGACGUGGUGCUAAGGUUGCAGGGUUCGGUUCUUUGUGAUCUAAAGCCGGAUCGGUGUGUCGCUCUCCAAACAAAUGGUAGUUUAUCUUGAACUUAACAGAAGAUCAGGAACCCUAUCCCCAUUACUUUGCGAACCAAACGAGCAAUUGCAAAGUGCAAGCCAUGAUGUCAUAAGCAUAUAAGACCCAAAUUCAGCAACCAAAGUCUCACAAGAAAAGAACUCUCAGAAAUCAUUCAUAUCAAUUGACACAUCCAUAAAUUUGCAACUAACACAAUGGCCCCUGGGGUACAAGUUCAAUAUGAUACCAACUUUUGAGGGUCAAUCUGAUCCAAGAUAAUUCUUGAUGAGCUUUGAAGCUGCAGUAAUAUCUAGAGGAGUAGACAAAACCGCACUUGCAAAAUCACUUGUCAUGGCAGUAAGACGACUAGCCCAACAGUGAUACUCUUCAGUCAAGGCAAAAUCCAUACAAUCAUGGGAUACUCUCAAAGCAAAUUUACUAGUUGAUUUUCAAAGAUUCCAGCUAGCUGGUCUGACAGACAUUGACCUCUUUAAUUGCAAGCAACAAAUUAAAUAGCCUCUAAGCUAAUACUUCAAAAGAUUUGUACAGAAGAAAGCUCGAAUUCCAAACAUUCUAGAUGAAGUACUCAUCAUAACUACAAUCAAAGGACUUUAGGUGGGAUAGUGUGCACCAAACUUGGCCUGAGAAAAAUCAUCCAUAGUGACAAAACUUUAUGAAGUCAUCCAUAAAUAUUGCAAGUCAGAUGAUGAUUAUAGGAAAAGAAUCAAGGAAAAAAAUAACUUCAAAAGUCAGGCGAAGCAAAACAACAAUAGUCUUCACAUUCCAAGCUCAAACAACUUUGAGCGAAGACCCUUUGCUCCACAUAAUCAAGUCAAUCAAAUAGAGAAUGACACCACAGCAUCCAAGAGCAACUUCACAAGCCCAAAUCACUUUAAUCAGCAAAGUCAAUAUCAUGAAAGGACAUUUGAAAGGAGCAGUUUUACACAAAGAGGAAGAGGAAGAGGAAGAACACCUCUCAAACUAGAAGGUAUGUAUUGCAUCAUCCAUGGCAAAGGGUCUGGUCACACAUCGAAGAUGUGCCCCAAAGUGAUGAAAAGCAUAGAAGAAACACAAGAUGAAAAUGGGGCAGCAAGCUGUUAAAAGUUGUGAACAACAUCAUACAGGAAACAUAAAAUCCACAUCAAAAUUAUUUCCCAUUGCAUUAUGGACAUUCUCAGGCAAUGUUGCCAGGACCACUCCCAACUUACAUCUAUGAACCUUUGGCAAUGUACCACCCAAUGCAAAAUUAAUGGAGGCCAAAUCAAGCUCAGCAAUCUAGCAAUCAAACAGCACAACCUGAGGCUUCGGUCGCCAAUAAUAAUCCUCAUCAUACUCAAGCCAAGCAAGAAAAUAGUCCACCAUCAACUUUAGUGAUGAAUAUCAAUGCAAUCAUCCUAGGCAGAUGAAGAAUAUUGACGAUCGCAAGAGGAAAUAGUAUGGAGUAUGAAAGCAACAGUCAAAAAAUAAAUUAUUUUAGAAGGGUUAAUUCAAUCUCAAUGGAAGGUCCAUUCAAAAAAACAAGAUGGUCUCAUUUGCCAAUAACAUUUUUAGAAGAUCUAUAACUAAAGGACUACCCACAUAUGGAUGCAAUGGUGAUUGAAACAAAUAUUGAUUGUUGGUCACUUUCAAAAAUAUUAGUGGAUGGUGGUAGUUCUGCAGACAUCAUAUUCACAUCAACAAUUGACACUAUGAAAAUUGAUCGCAAACUAUUGGGAAGAGUUGAGCAUCCACUUUUUGGCUUUGGUGGAAAACCAAUUCAUUCAAUUGGAAGAAUAGUUUUGCCCAUCUCAUUUGGAACUGUUAACAAUGCAAGAACAGAGCAAAUAGCAUUUGACGUGAUUGAUAUGUACUGUCCAUACAAUGCACUUUUUGGAAGAGGGACUCUGAACGCAUUUGAGGCGGUAGUAAGUUACUUCUACUUAUGCAUGAAGAUGCCAGCAAUAAAUGGAGUAAUCAUAGUCUAUGGUGAUCAAACAGAAACAAAAAAUAUCAAAAAAGAGUAUAUUCCCAGAUGGAAAAUGUACAUGUAAUCUCCAAAGAAGAAGAAAAAGAGAGCAUAGGAAGUGCAAUACAACAAUCAAAAGCCCAAGCUUGCGAAAAGACAAAAAGGGUACCUCUAGACCCUUUGAUCCUAGAAAAACAAGUGAUAAUCAGAAUGGGGCUCACUGUUGACGGUAGAUAAGUACCAGUUUUAUACCAACAAGAAAAUGGAAUAAGGGCAUAAAACAAUCACCAGCAAUUGAAUAGGGUUUCAACUAACAGAUUUCCAUAGGUUUUGGUGAAUGUCUAUUUCUACAGGGGGUUAUCAGGGCCCACAUGUCAUGAUUACAUAGAGAGAAACAAGAUAUCUACGCCAUGUAUGAAGAAGAAGGAUCUAGAAGAGUCGGGAAGCCACCAAAACGAAGGAGAACCAGAGGGCAGGUGGGGCCAUAGCGGCCAAGCAGGGCGCCCGCCCCCUGGUCCAAUCAGAAGCUAGGUCUCGGAUUGUGGGCUAAACCAACUUAGAGGAGCGUGGAUCUUCGUUCAUUAAGGUCCAUUUGAUCUAAGGGCUACGAAUCAUCUCACCGGCCUAUAUAAGGAGGGGUAGACCCUAGAGUUUGGAGGCAUCACAUAUCAUUCUCAUUCAUAUAAUUCAAUCUCUACCCUCAUCUCUCGAAAGCUCCAAGUUUAGAAGCAUAGCUACAUAGAAUAGAUCUAGUUGGAGGCAAGCAUUGCUUGGUUUCUAGAUCCGUCAGAGAGUUUACUCAGUAAUUCUUGUAAUCUUUCUCCUACUUUAUUCUAGUUCGUCAUUGUAUACAUUAUUUCAUCUUAUUAUGAAUGUGACAUUGAUCUAUUCUAUUAUAUUGGAUAUGACUUUGCUCUACUUGCUUAUAUUCUUAGUUAUAUUGUUCUUAGUUUAUUAUGAUUAUAUGCUUGGCAUAGCUAGUUUAGAUUUAUAUUCAAACAUAUGUUCGUAUAGCACUCGCUCAUUGAUAUGAUGGGUGGGUGGUCGACCUUAUGUAGGUGUGGUGCCUAUAUCGUGUUUGCCUAUGUUUGCACCUUAUAUUCUAGGCCAUGUGGUCGAUCACGGGGGUGACAUACCCGUUGAGUCCUCUGUAGUCCACCCUCCGAAUGUAGUUCUUUCUGUAGACACUAAUUACGAGGAGAUGAAUGCUCUGUUCUUGAUUUCCCUUAGUAAUGUCCAUAUGUGUAGAUAUAACCUUGCCUUGCUAUGAUUGCCAAGUAUAAUUGCACUAAUCAUGAUAUGCUUAGACUAUAUAGUUAGAUUAACAUAGGAAAUAUCAUCAUAGAUCAUUCUAAUCCAUGCUAGUGCUACAGACUAGAGUACUCUAGAGAUGCAUUUAUCUUCCUAUGUUUGUUUAUCAUUAUUAUUCAUUAUAUAUAUCUUUAUUAUGUACUUAACCCUGCAUUAAGAUAGAUAGAUAAGACAUGGUUGACCACUUGAGAAUACAUGCAAGUGAUAUCUAUUUCCUUGGCUAUCCUUCCCAUGGGUAAAAUUAUAAAGUACGAUACAUAGAACUUUCCUCGGUCAAAUGCCACGAUGGUAUAUAUCUGUGCGCUUGCGGAUACCCUAUUUUAUAUUCAUCAUUCUUAGAGAGCAUCGCAUAUUUACUACCACCAGUGUAUUUCUAGUGUCAUGCUGGGGAUGAUAACCUAGCCACUGAGGAUAUUGUCUUUAUUCUAUUCUUAGUAAGUGAAGCUUAGAAGUAACAACAAGCAUUUCUAGUGCCGUUGCCGGGGAAGGUUAUGGCUAUUCAAAGGAAUUAGAGACAUCACUUGCAAACCACUCUCAAUUGAGGAACCAUCAUUAUCUCUACUUAUGCAGGCUCACCCUUGUCUUUUGUCUAUUUAUGGAUCUUAUGCAGGGUCAUGUAUGAAUAGGUUUGACCUUCCAGAUAAUUUCAUUGACAAUCCUAAAGCAUAAAUUAAGAGAAACAGAGCUAAGUUAAAGGAUGUAUGAUCAUCACCGUCAUUAUCAUCAUCAUCAUCUAAGUUUGAAGUCUCAAUUAAUUUGGAAGGUCAUUCAAGCGUUGUUUGAAGUUUAACACCAGAGUUUGAAGCGAUGGUUGAAAGAUCACUUCGUGAGUUUUCUGCUCCCACCACUGACAACAUCCACACUAAACCUGUUGUCAAUGUUGGAGAUCAACCAUUUGAGCUCAAGCUAGCGCUAAUCAACAUGGUGCAAGCUAGUUGGUUUUGUGGAAAGACACACGAAGAUGCAAGUGCUCAUCUUUAGAACUUCCUAGAGAUAUGCAACACACUCACAAUCAAAAUAAGGAGUUACAAGAGAUGCCAUACUUCUCUGCCCCUUUCCAUUUUCACUCUUGAGAAGGGCAAAGCUGUGGUUCUACACUAAUAAAGACAAGAAUGUUACAUGAGCGAUUUGUUCCACUAAGUUCCUGGCUAAGUUCUUCCUUGUAGGCAAGACGAAUGCUCUGCGUGGGAAAAUUUCAAGUUUUCAGCAACACAAUGAUGAGACUGUCCUAGAAGCCUGGUAGCGCUUUCAAGAUUACAUCCUAGAAUGUCCUCAUCAUGUGAAGGAGAAUUGGCUCCUUAUGCAAACUUUCUAUCAUAGGCUCUCAAACAACACACAUGAGACCAUGGAUGCCGCUGCUGAAGGAGCAUUCUUAUUACUACUAUUCCUCAAGCCACUGCUCUUGUGGAAAAGAUGGCCUCCAAUCAAAGUUGGAGUGAAGAACAUACUUAGACCGACAAGAGAAGUGGAGGUAUGCACCAGCUCAAGGAAGUAGACAUUCUGAGCGUUAAGAUAGUCCUACCGGUGAAGAGUCUGGAUGAAAGAGCCAGUGAGAAGAAUACAUUCAUGCACAUCCAUGAUGCCCGCUUGACUUGUGAAGAAUGUGGAGAUACUAGGCAUUGAGGCAACUGCUGCCCAACACUCUAGGAGGAUGUGAGCUACCUCAACAACAACUACUACUACAAUUAUCCUCAACAAAAUCAUGGCAGGAAUCAAUAGAGGCCUAACUACUUAGGUAACUAUCAAGGUAAUAAUUUCAAUAAUUUUAGUCAACUACCUUUUGAGAGAGUUAGUUAUGAAUCAAGGAAAAUUAAUGAAUAACCCUUCUAAAAAAUAGCAUCUAGUGAUAAAACUUUAGAAACAAUCAAUGCUAGGAUGGAUAAUUUUGCUACUACAAUCAAGAAUCAACAUGGCUUUAAUAAAAUGAUUGAAUCUUAAAUAUCUCAAUUGAUAACUGUUGUUCCUCCCACUAACCAAGGAAAGAUUCUAGGACAACUGAAAGAAGUAGAAUCUGCAAAUCUUGUCGAUAUAUACAAUGUAGGGAGUUAUUUUAGAGCUACGUCAGCCAGAGAUUGGAAAGACGAGUCCUUGUCUGAAAAGAAAGGUGAUCCUAGAAGGCUGGUUAUCCCUAUCAACAUUGGAGGCAACCACUUCCCGAAAACUCUUUGUGACUUCAGUGUAAGCAUCAACAUCAUUCCCAAGGUUGUAUGAGAAACUUUAUGGAGAUCCAUUAUUAUAUACAACCAUAUGCUUGCAGCUUGGAGACUAGACAUUGUGCUAUCCCAAAGGCAUCCUUAAAGAUGUCUGCAUCUAAGUUGGCGAUUCAUGUCCUGCAGACUUUGUGGUGAUAGAGACUGGUGGAGACGAGAGGGCACCGAUUAUCUUGGGGCGCCCAUUCUUAAACACCGCCAAGGCCAUCAUCUACACCGACAAUGCAAAGAUAUGUUUCAACAUCAACGGAGAAAAGAAAUAUUCACAUUCUAGAAGCGUACACUCAAAGCUCCUGCACAUCCCCAAACACCGUACAACUACCAAAACUAUGAUGGAACUGAGAAGAAAAAGAACAAUCAGAGGAACAAGUACAAGGAACCAAAGGUUGAGACAGUAAGGAUGGCUAGUGUAGUCCACAAAGACCAUGAUUAUCUCCUUGUGUCUCCCCACUUGAUCAAGAAAGAAGAUCCAGGUGCACCAACCAUCGAAUGCACCAUCGAUUGAUGCUCCUUCUAGAAGGUGGUUUGCAACACUAGAGCAUAAGUCAACAUCAUGGCUAAGGUAACUUACGAAUUUCUAUAUGGAAAAAUGCAAUUGCAUUCCACUUUUGUACAGUUGUAGAUGGUGGACCAGACCUACUGAUUCCUAGAUGGGAUUGCCAAGGACAUACCAAUACAAAUUGAUGACCACUUCAUCCCUACUAACUUCCUAGUCUUGAACAACGGAGAAGAAGACCAUGAUCCACUAAUCAUCCUUGGAAGGCUGUUCCUCAACACCACUCGAGCUAUCAUCUAUAUCGGGACAGGAGAAGUUCAUUUCCAAUUCCCAGCUAAGAAGGUACGUCAAUAUUUCACUAACUAUACAGUGAGUGAAGAACCCUAGAAGAACAGAUCAAGGAGGCAUUGUUCUCAAUGACAAAAGAAACAAAUCUUGAAGAAUGGAUGGGCUAACUAUGAAGGAGAGGUGUCUAGAUAGGAAGAUCGAUACCUAGAAGAUAAUGUCAUGGAAGAAGUGAAAAAAGACACCAUUAAAGGCAAAGCCCCCUCAUCAAAGUUUACCUCACCAACCAAACAAGUAUGGGUUCAAAAAGCUAUAAUUAUUUCUGACACACCAGCACAAGAAGAGGCGCAAUUGGAGUCACCGAAGAAGCCAUCAGAGGUGAUUGAAGAAAGCUGAAGAGAAAAGAGAGGUCCUAUUUGGAGGACUCAAAACACUAAACCCUCACCAAAAGGUACAUUUGGCAAUUAUCCAUAUUUCCCUUUUUAGUACCACAUUAAUUUCCCUUAGAGCAUAUUUAAUUUCCUUAUGGUUAUACUCAUUUAUUUGAACACCCCUUUGCAUUAGAAAAAGAAAAUAAAAAUUUAUCAUACAUAGCUUUCCAAAAAUAUUAGGCCCCAUAUGAUGUACUUUGUGGUACACCCCAAAGGCACCCAUUAUGGCGGCAUAAAAAAAUCUCUCUUUGGAAAAAAUGUUAAGCCUCAUGUGAAUAACUUUGUGGCAAUCCAUAAAGAUUACACACCGUGGUGGCACAGAAAUAAAUUUACAGUCAGUCUAGUUACAUUUUUCUUUUUUUGCAUUAUAAAUAUGAAAAUCCAUAAAAAUAUAUAAUCAUUUUAAAACCAAAAAGAAAAGAUCCUAAAGAUUACAUGCUCAAUCAAUUGUGAAGUUCUAGACAUGCAAGGCUUAGAGGUUUAUCACUAACACUUAAUCAAGUUGCACAAGUUUGUUGUCUAUUUGAGCUUCAUAGAAUUUAAAGGGAUCAGACAAGCCUACGACCAGAGGAGGUAUCCUCACUAUCAGUUUGCUAUAGCAAGAGACUAUGCCAACAUCCAGCUUAGGGGAGGGCAUACCCCGUGUACUUAGCUAAGUAUUUCUUCCACCUUUUUAAAUUUGAACUUUAAAUUUUGAAUUUUAGUUUGUUUUGUUUAGAUUAUAAAAAUAAAUAAAAAGAUGGAUAACCAUUAAAACCCAAAUUAAGAUUUCCCUAUAUAUUUUCUAUGUGAUCUUAGAGUUUGCUUAAUAAAUAAAAGGUGAAGAUACAAGGAUUAAUUUGCUUAAACCAAACCAUAGAUUAGACUCGCAUGGAAAUGACGAAUAGUUGCUCUGCCAUAAUACUUUUUGAGUACCUAGUUUUCAACCCCGAAUUCUCCCAAGUUUUGGACACAACUAUUUGGAUUGAAGAUUUACUCUGAGCCUGAAACUUGUGGAUUGCAAUGCUUGAGCUUAAGUUUGGGUAGUUGACUGAUAUGAUAUGGAAAGGUUUUGAGCUGGUAUUUAUCAGGUUCCUAGAGACGCUAGAGUUAUGGAGAAUUUAUCUUUUGAAAACCAUAAAAAUGCUGCAUGAUGAGUUCCUAUAUGACGAGAGCUUGAAUUUCUACCAUAGCCAGAUAUACAUGCCUUGUAGACUAGGAAAACAUUUCACUAUUAUUUACUGCUUAUGAGCAUUGAAUAGAGUCAAGCUUUGUUGACCCUUAGGAACUAGUCAUGUAUUUAAAAUCAAGAUCACUUACACUAUACCCACUUAUGCUGCUUCUACCCUAGAAGUAUGAAUCAACCUCCAUUUUAUUUAGAUCCACACAAAAUUGUUCUACUCUUACACUCGGAGUGAACUCCAAAAAUGUUCCAUUCAUUUUAUCCCUUGCCAUUUAAUAAAGCUCCAAUUGUGCCUUAUCACCACCUUCCAUUGAAUUAUUCAGAAUAGAGAUUUGGGUGCUCUCCAAAAAGAAAGAAAAAAAUAAGAAAAAGGAAAGAGAAGAGGACAAGGUCCCAACAACAAAAAAAGAAAGAAAAGAAAAAGAAAAAAAGAGAAAAUUAGAGCAACCCAAACUCUCUCCAAAACUUCCAAUAAAGGUAGGUGUGUUUUGAAGGAGCAAAGUAGAAUUAGGAUUCCACUAUCACCAUCACCAUACACCCAUUUUGUAUACAUUUGUCGUUAUCCACUACAAUCCAUUCCACUAUAUAUUCCACAAUAUGCCACACACAUGCACAUCUUGAUUUGAUUGUAUGACUUGAUUCUUUGGAUCCAUUGUUUGACUUUACAAUAUAUGUUUACAAGUAUGUAUGUGUUGUCUCCCACCUAUGAGCUUCACAUAAGCCAAUUAGAUGUGGGGUGAGAGAGAGAGGGCAUCUCACUAUUCCUAUGCCAAAAAUACCACAUACAUUGAGAGAAGAGAGAAGGCAGGCAUCAUGAGUGCCUUAGAAAGGAUCCACAAAUCAAACCCUAAUUCAUAUUUUCUAGAGAGAGUUAGACAGAGAGGGGUCCCUCGAAUGGAUCUGUCUCUUUAGGGUGAUAGCAACAAGAGAGAUUGAGAAAGUAUAGGGUGAAGAUAGGAGUUGAGGAAGCCUGGCCUGUCGGUGCCUUCUUCUUCAUAUCUUCGGGGUCAGGUCUCCUAACCCAAGGGCUGGUUCUAGAAUCAUUCGGCAAUUCAACUUCUGAUACUAGUAAGUUAUUGUUCUUAUUGUUCUUUGGUUUACAAGUUUACUUUAUUCACUUUGCGUAGGGAAUAGAGUAAUUAUUCGUAUCGUAAGCAUGGUGCUUGGGCUACAAAUACUCAUAUAUACUCCCUGCUUGGCCAAACAUGUGGUAGCCUUUUGGGGGAAGUGACAAUCCUCUUCGAUCUCAGUAAUCCACAUCUCGUUAGGAGGUAAGGUAGGGUAUAUGGUACUAUGGUUAAGCACUCUCUGAGGUGUCUCUUUUCUCUAGUUACUCCCCUUAGAAUGAUAUCUACACACUUACCAUAGGUUAGAAGAAGACUGAAGAAAAAGUUCUCUCUAUAUCGCUUAAUUCUUGCUAUCUUGUCUUGCAACCCGUGGGUAGUAGUUAAGAUAAAAGGUUAGUCUUUUGCAUGCUUUGUCCUAGUGGUAAAAAAAUAAAUACGAUACUCUGGACUUAUCUCCCGGGUGAAGUGCUCACCGAUAUUCAUGUGCUUGCGGAUUAUUUCUAUUUGAUUCUUUCGUGUGCGUAACUAAUAUCAACAGCCGCCGUCCCCGAACUGGGGCGUUUUCCCCUAAUUUUGGAUCCAUGCAUCAACAACGUCUAUUUCAAAUGCGUGCUCAUCAAUGGCGGCAGCUCCAUUGGCAUCUUGUUUCGUAAUAGUCUCCCUGCCCUCUAGCUAGCUCAAGUAGAUUUGAAGCCAUAUGAGUUCAGUUCUGGGGCAUCCUACCGGGCCAUAGUUCCAUGCCUCUCGGCUAGAUAACGCUCCCUGUCCAGUUUGGUACUCUAGACCACUUCUGCACCGAGUUUGUAAACUUUGUGGUCGCCGACUUUGAAGGGACGUACCAUGCCAUUCUAGGUCAUUCUUCACUCACCAAGUUUAUGGCAGUACCACAUUAUUCAUACCUAGUGCUCAAGAUGCCCACCGAGAAGGGUCCUCACAGUUAGGGGCAACGUCUACACAGCUUACACCUAUGAGGAAGGAAGCUUCAAGAUCACUAAGGCCAUUGACCUCUCAGUUUGGAUGGCAGAGACCGCAAAUCAAGCAACACAGACGCCCUCCAACCAGCUCAAGAUCUCCGAGCUAUAGGCCCCAAGGAAGAACGUCAAGUCCAAGGAGCACAAAGAAAUUCAACUAGUCGAUGACAAUCCCGAGAGGACAGCUCUUAUCGGAGCCACCAUGGAUCCUAAAUAGGAAGACGCACUCGUUAGGCUUUUGAGGGACAACGUAAGCUAUGGACAACGUAAUCUUCUGACGAUGCGAUAUUUAUGUGAAAAAAACUUCACGAGGUGAAAACUCAAACUUCAGAGGCGAAUUUCAGGAUUCUAAAAUUGUCAAACCCACUAAGGUCAAGAACAGACAGAUCUGAAAUUUUUUUCUGAUCGAUUUUGAUAUAUGCAACGUUGAAAUUUGAGUUCGUAUGCGAAAGUUAUGGUUGUUUUAUGAACGGACUCCGAAUUAGAGGACAAAAUGGUCCAGAAGUGGGAAAAAUUUGUGGCGGUGGCUAGAAAUUGAUGGAAACGGUGGGGAAAAACACAUGAACUGGACUCUAACAAGACCUAACCAGCAACAAGACCUCGACCAGGACAUAAACUCAACACUGCGGACUCUGAAACUGAAAUAUGCAAAGGCUAUGGCGCGGAAGGUUUGUAGGACAGGAAAAUGAUAUGGCACUAGACUUAUGGGACGAACACAAGAACACUCGAAACUAAGAGUAGAUGUGAACCUAACGGUAUACCUGAAGCUUUUAUUACCACUUGAUGAGAACAAGGGUGGCCCGAUCUUCUGAAAAGUUUUGGUAACUCUCGACUUGGUGGAGAUGAGACACAAAUCGAUCCGGCUUCCGAACAACACGAUCCGAAACCCUGUAAUUUUAUUUUAUUUUUUGAUAUUUUAUUUUACUUAGGAGCACUAAAGAACUAACCACAGAAAAUUUGAGCUUAAACAAGUGAAAGACGUGGCCUGUGGAAUUUUCUGAAGAUUGCGAAAAAUGUGAAAAAACAUCACAAGGUGAAAACUCAAACUUCGGAGGUGAAUUUGGAGAUUAUAAAAUUUUCAAACCCGCCAAUGACAGGUACAUACAGAUCCAAAAUUUCUUUUUGAUCGAUUUUGAUAUAUGGAAUGUUGAAAUCGGAGUUCGUAUGUGAAAGUUAUGGUUGUUUCACGAACGGACUCCAAAUUAGAGGACAAAAUGGUCCGAAAGUGGGAAAAUUUACGGCGGUGGCUAGAAAUGGAUGGAAACGGUUGGAAAAAAUACACGAACUGGACUCUAACAAGAUCUAACCAGCGACAAGACCUCAACUAGGACACAAACUCAACACCGCGGACUCUGAAACUGAAAUAUGCAAAGGCUAUGGCGCGGAAGGGUUGUAGGAUAGGAAAACAAUAUGGCACUAUACUUAUGGGAUAAACACAAGAACACUCGAAACUAAGAGUAGAUGUGAACCUAACGGUAUACCUGAAGCUUUGAUUACCACUUGAUGAGAACAAGGGUGGCCCGAUCUUCCGAAAUAUUCUAGUAACUCUCGAUUUGGUGGAGACGAGACACAAAUCGAUCCGGCUUGCGAACAACAUGAUCCGAAACCCUGCAAUUUUAUUUUAUUUUUUUGAUAUUUUUCUUUUACUUAGGAGCACUAAAUAAGUAACCAUAGAAAAUUUGAGCUUAAACAAGUGAAAUACGUGGCCUGCGGAAUUUUUUGAAGAUUGCAAAAAAUGUAAAAAAACAUCACGAGGUGAAAACUCAAACUUCGGAGGCAAAUUUAGAGAUUCUAAAAUUUUCAAACCUGCUAAUGGAAGGAACAGACAGAUCCAAACAAAUUUUCUGAUCGAUUUUGCUAUAUGGAACGUUGAAAUCGGAGUUCAUAUGCGAAAGUUAUGGUUGUUUUAAUAACGGACUCCGAAUUAGAGGACAAAACGGUCUGAAAGUCGGAAAAAAAUUCGGCAGUGGCUAGAAAUUGAUGGAAACUGUGGGGAAAAACACAUGAACUGGACUCUAGCAAGGCCUAACCAGCAACAAGACAUCGACUAGGACACAAACUCAACACUGCAGACUCUAAGACUGAAAUAUGCAAAGGCUAUGGCUUGAAAGGUUUGUAGGACAGGAAAACGAUAUGACACUGGACUUAUAGGACGAACACAAGAUCACUCAAAACUAAGGAUAGAUGUGAAUCUAAUGGUAUACCUAAAACUUUGAUUACCACUUGAUGAGAACAAGGGUGGCCUGAUCUUCCGAAAGGUUCUAGUAACUCUCGAUUUGGUGGAGACGAGACACAAAUCGAUUUGGCUUUCGAACAACACGAUCCGAAACCCUGCAUUUUUUUUAUUUUUUUUAUAUUUUUCUUUUACCUAGGAGCACUAAAAAGUAACCACAAAAAAUUUGUGCUUAAACAAGUGAAAGACGUGGCCUGCAGAAUUUUCUGAAGAUUGCGAAAAAUGUGAAAAAAACUUCAUGAGGAGAAAACUCAAACUUUGGAGGCAAAUUUCAAGAUAAAAUUAUCAAACCCGCUAAAGUCACAGACAGACAGAUCUGAAAUUUUUUUAUGAUCGAAUUUGAUAUAGGUAACGUUGAAAUCAGAGUUUGUAUGUGAAAGUUAUGGUUUGUUUACAAAUGCACUCCGAAAUACAGGAAAAAACGGUCCAGAAGUGGGAAAAAUUUGCGGCGCUGGCUAGAAAUUGAUGGAAACGGUGGGGAAAACACACGAACUGGACUCUAACAAGACCUAAUGAGCAACAAGACCUCGACUAGGACACAAACUCAACACUGCGGACUCUGAAACUGAAAUAUGCAAAGGUUAUGGCGCGGAAGGGAUGUAGGACAGGAAAACGAUAUGGCACUGGACUUAUGGGACGAACACAAGAACACUCAAAACUAAGGGUAGACGUGAACCUAACGGUAUACCUGAAGCUUUGAUUACCACUUGAUGAAAACAAGGGUGGCCCGAUCUUCCGAAAGGUUCUGGUAACUCUCGAUUUAGUGGAGACGAGACACAAAUCGAUCCGGCUUCGGAACAACACGAUCCGAAACCCUGCAAUUUUUUUUUAUUUUUUUGAUAUUUUAUUUUACUUAGGAGCACUAAAGAAGUAACCACAAAAAAUUUGAGCUUAAACAAGUGAAAGACAUGGCCUGCGGAAUUUUCUGAAGAUUGCGAAAAAUAUGAAAAAAACUUCACGAGGUUAAAACUCAAACUUCGGAGGCGAAUUUGGAGAUUCUAAAAUUUUCAAGCCCGCUAGUACUAGGGACAGGCGCAUUAAAUGCCCUGGCUCUCAUGCGCGCGUCAGGUGGCGGACAGUGCGCCUGCGCUCGACGCCUCCCGAUUCGCUCGAGCCCUUUUCCGUAUUCGACGGUAGUUAGCGCUCGACCCCUGAGUGGUUCGCUCGACGUCUUUUCCGUCUUCGAGGCUGCGGCCGUCGAUGACCGCAUGACUUAUUAGAGCGUCGAGUUGAGGCCCUCGAUCCGUGCACGGGUAAUCUCGUUAUGGGCAUCAGUUAGGGUACCCCUUACUGAUACCCUCGACAGUAGCCCCCGGGUCUCCAUUCGAGCACUGGCGCUCGAGUGGAGGCUUUAUUUUGCGGUCGAAUUUCCGUGGGGAUGCGCGAGCGACCCCGCGGGGGUAGCCCCCGAGCCCUUGGAGGAGUUUUUUGACUCCUUCAAGGGUUAAAUUGCCUAACUCUCAGAAACGCUAUUGACACCGAUGGUGGAAGGUCCUGAUUGGCUUGUUUUGUGCGGGGGUUUCGACAUACUCUCGAUAGAGCGAGCGUCUUCCACCCCAAAUUGAGUUCCUAGCGGGUAGUCUAAGUGAGAACCUGUGCCCCUUUCGAGGGGGUCAGCUGUAGCCUGGAGGCAUUCUCAUAAAGCAGGGUCGAUGUGGUCGGGGAUACUGAUCUCAUUCGAUAGAGUCCAGCGGCUCGAUGCCUCCCGUCAGGGGGAUUCCACUCGACUGUCUCGACCCUACCUUAGACAUCCCUAGCGAGUCUUCGAGGCGGGCCUCGAUCUUCGACCACUCGCUGGGGAUCCUUGACCCUGGUGCUUGAGAUCGGCUGUCGAACCCUUUUGGUGGGCCAGCCUGCGACCUCUCGAGGCUUUCACGGGUACAUCCCUUGGCUUACAAGGGAAGGAAAGAGCCGUGGGCGGUUUGCCUUUUUACCCGUUGGGCGCGCCUUUUUAGGUGGGAGGCAUUACGACACUGUGUUGGCGUGGAAUUCGAAGCGACUCACCUGUGAGGAGGGAAAGGAUCGUUAGACGGCGCAUUUAUGGGGGGAGUUACCUCAUUUCUCGGAUCUGCCCGUUGGUGGACUGCUGCAUAUAAAUGUGCCUUGGCGUCGCUGCCGUUCUCCCUUCUGCCACCCGUGUUCGUUCUCGCCUUAGCCCUCUCGUUGCCUUACUUCUCUUGCUGUCUCACACGCGCGCGCAACCCCUCAAGUGGUAGCGGAUCCACCGUCCUUCCAGCCAAGAUGCCUGUGGGACUCAUCGCCGCCGACGACUGGCGCCCGUCGUCGAUGACGGAGCGCCGGUUGCUAUAGCUUGAGAGAGAGGGACUCCUGCAACGCCGCACCUCGCUAUCGUCGCCAGAGUGGAUCGCGCCGCCGACGGACCAUAGGGAGCCUCAGCCGCCUGAGGGCUACGUGGUGUCGUUCGCUGAAUUCCACCACCACGGCCUGGGUGCUCCUCCGAGCCGCUUCAUGCGGGCGCUCUGCCUCCACUAUGGGGUGGAGCUCCAGCACUUCUCCCCGAAUGCCAUCACCGUCGCGGCGGUCUUCGCCGCGGUGUGCGAGGGCUACCUGGGGAUGAUGCCCCACUAGGAGCUGUGGCUCCACCUCUACAGGGGCGAGAAUUUCAACGCCCCCACCGGAACCAUUGGCGUGAGGAAGCCCGUGCGGGCGGGAUGCCUCAAUCUCGUGCAGAAGAUGGGGAAGACGGAUAGGCCGCGUGAGUACAUCCCAGUGGGGUUGUCGACUAACCACGCCGGCUGGGACUCCCAGUGGUUUUAUCUGCGGAACGACGACAACCUCCUGCCCGCUUACUCCGGUCGCCUGAUCACGGAGCGUCCAGCGGACUGGACAUACGGCGUCGUCCAAGCUCAUCAAUCGUGGCUCAACCCCCUCCUCGACGCCCUGAAGAAGCUUCGCCUGGAGGGCUUGACUGCCGCUCUCGUCCUCUCGGCCGUCCAUCACCGGAGAUUUCUCCCAUUGAUGUCUCGACCGUUGAGGAUGGACGAGAUGGGCCCUGGUGUUUCAUCUCGGGACCUCGAGGCGUGCCGGAUGUCCAACGAGGCUCUGACGAACGACGAAGUCGCGGCCCGGGUCAGGGCCGCAAUUGCCGGUGACUUUUAGCCGGAGCACGUUAACGGUUUCCCCAUGAGGCCUGAUGCGGGCUCGAUCGAUCUGGUAUGCUCUCUUCUCGUGCACAGCUUCGAUUCUGGGUUUCUUUCUUCCCUUUUUCUAAGUCUACCUUUGUUCUGGCAGGGACGGAUUGAUGUCCGGUCCUCGAGGCCUCCAGUAAAGGAGGACGAGGUCGACCGCGAAAAACGGCUCCAGUCCGCCAAGAAACUGAAGUCCGCCAAGGACUCUAAGAAGAAAGGAGAGAAGAAGAGGAAUCUCGACCGCCAAGCGCUAGAUGCGCGUCGAGCUAAAUCCAGGCAGAGGGGGGAGCCUGAGGAAGAAUCCCCCAGCGACGAUGAUGGUGGAGAUGGUGAUGAGGACAGCGACGACUCCGAGGGGAUGGCGUCUCGCCUCGAUCGGAUCCUCGAGGGUCCGCCUCGAGGCGACGUCGACGCCCCACGGGUGGAAGCACCAAAGGAAGGACCGGGCGGAUCUCACCGUCCUCGCGCCGACACCCCCAUUGUGCCCGCGACUGGUCAGGUCGCCCCAUGUCCUCCCUCUGCGCCCAGGACGGGUAGCCAUGCUAGGCCUCAGGCGACGGGGCCACUGACUCGCGGUCGCGCCGCGGCCUCCGAGAAAGGAGAGACUGGCCGCAGGAGCGCCGGUCUUGGUGCCCGCCAAGCGGAAGUCGCUGGGCCAAGGCCAGCGCGCGUCCUCGAGGGCCUGGGACUUUGACGCGGGGUGGCUCGAGGCCCACCGGUCGGGGCACCGGCAGGCGAGCUGUUCUCCCCGUGGGGUAAGCUCUUCGAUGCUGUGACUUCUGUCCUCCUAUUCCUCUGCGUUUCCUCGUAUAUCGGUCUUUUUAUGCUCGUUCCUUUUUUCUCAGAUUGAAGCGGACGCUUGAGCAGGCCCAGCCUUCAAUGGCGAAGAGGCUCAAAGCGGGAGCAGCCUCCAAGGAGCCAGGUUUGUAGCUUACUUUUGGGACUCGUGAUGCUCUUACGCUGGUCAUCAUAGUGACUGGCCUUUGUUUUUUGCUUCACAGGCUCCUCCGACCCUCAGCUGCCGACCGGCAUCGAGAGCGCCCCGCCUUGUCCCGAGUCUACCCCGUCACCGCCGACACGGACCGAGGCGCCCCAGACCCAAGGGCAAGAGGGAGCCCCCGAGCCUCCCCGAUCGGGGGUCGAGGGGGAUCCCAUUACCAUCAGUGACAUGUCUGGCGGCAACGAGACGACGAGGGAUGUCCACCCUAUGGAGGAGGAGGCGUCGACCUCCCUCGUCGCGGGACGGACUCCCUGGCCUGCUGGUCUUCGCGCCCUCGAGGAGCAGAAGAAAAAGGAGGAGGAGGAGGAGGAGCAGGAGCGCGAGGCAAGGCGGCAGCCGUAGGAGUAGGGCCGUUGACAAGAGUCGCUGGAGCUUGAGGAGCAACAGCAGCAGCGGCAGCAACAGCAGCAACAGCAGCAGCAGCAUGAGCAACAGCAGCAACAGCAGCAGCAGCCGUAGCAACAACAGCAGCAGCGACCACUCGAGCCCCCUCCUCAUAGUCCGCCCCAACCUGUACCACAGGCGCCGCAAGAACCCGGAGACCAGGAGGAGGAUUUGCCGGUUUUUGGUCCUCCGACCCCGGUGUGGCUCCGCCCUAGGGCGCCCGCCGCAAUCCCGGCAGAGCGGGGGCGAGCAGAUGGUGUGGGAGCGCUUGCCUGCAUGAUGCGUACCCCCGCCGACCCCGAGUCCAAGAUCAGGAGGACGAUCUACGGCAUGGACGGGAUCGCCCCAGGGUUCCUCCGAGAGCGCCGGGCGUGGGAGGACCGCAUCCUUGCCGAGGAGGAUGAGAUCGGGAAGUCGGGUAGCCAAGACGGUACCUGGAAGAUGGUGGACGACGACGGGCGGUUCCCUUCCCUCGUCGACUUGUUCCUGCGCCAUGGGGGAUCCCUCGAGGCUGUCGAGGACCUUAUUCGUAGCGUCAAGGCGUGGGCCGACUGGGAGAUGGAGAACUGGUGCCCCGAUCGGAUCCGCAUCCGGGCUUCCACCGACCCGUCCGAGCCCAACAUCUUCAAGGACGAUAGGAAGGAGGCGGAGAAAUGGGAACACAUCGAGGAGCUCCGCCUUUGGAUGAAGCAUGUGGUGGGGCUCCUGUCGAACAUCAUCAACAACGGGCUCGGGCCGGCCUACUUCGUAAGUAUUUUUUGGUCCCUAAUCCUCAUAGAUCUGUCGGUUUUGUUUUCUAACCGUUUGACCACCGGUUCGCAGGACAUGAAAGAGACCUCCUCCAUCAAGUCAAGCUUCAUUCACGCCACAAGAGGCGGCUGGGAGCAGCUCCACGUCCUCAAGGACCAACUCCUCGAGUCGCAGGAAAAACUCCUUAAGGCUUAUAAAGACCUCAUAGCGCUCGAGGAGGAGAAGAAGACGAGGGAGGCUGCCUUGGCCGAGGCUCGAGAGGCCUCAAGGAAGGUGGUGGAGGAGACGACGCUACUGCGGGAGCGGGCUCUGACAGUCGAGGAGGCCGCGUCCAAAGCCCGGGAGGAGGCCCUGUCCUAUAAGAACGUCAUUGCUGACUUGGACAAGGAGAAGGGCCUUCUCAAGACCGACCUGGAAUCCCUCCGAGACUCCUUUCAAAGGAUGAAGGUGGCAUACGUGGACAGUGAGGUCGCCAGGGGGGCCAUGGAGGAAGCGAAGAAGAAGACCCUCGAAGACCUCGAGGCGGAGCGGGCUCGAUCCCGCAGCCUCUCUCACGACGUCGACCGUCUAAAGGGGGAGCUGCUAGAGAAGAGUGGAGCUAUUGCACAGGCUGGCAAGGCGAUCGAGGAUCUUCGUGUCACCAACACUGAGCUGGCACGCUCCAACAGAGAGAUCGAGAUGGCCAAUACUAAAUUGGUUGGCGAGAACACGGCCCUGGAGGAGAGCAUCCGUGGUACAUUUCUAUUGUCGGAUUUCCUUUUCGAGGUGUGCUUGGUUUUUUCUAAAGUUUUUGCAUUGACGUUCACAGGGCUUAAGGACGAACUCUUGGCCACCCAAGUCGAGGCCCGCAAUGCUAAGUCCCAGCUCGAGGCGGAGGUUGCUUUGAACCAUCGAGUGCGGACGGUGAUAAGCGAUCUCUCGGCCUCUUGGGAGAUCAAGCCCAUGGACGAGUCGAGGGAGGACGUUCGAGGUGACGCACUGGUCGACUAGCUGUGCUACUUAGGCGCGACGCUGAGAUAUCGGGUGCGGGAUGCUCUCCACAUCGGGGUGAAGCGGGCGAUGGCAGUUGUCUGCUCAGGCUUCUCCUACGACAUGGAGGUGGUGUCCCACGGCUUCGUCACCGACAUCUCCAAGACCGACGUGGAGAACGAAGAAAGGCUCCACGCCUUGAUUGACGACGCGGAGGUUCCUGGAGAGAGGCUGGCCAAGCUGUUUGAGCCUGAGGUGCUUCCCCCUGAGACUAGCUCGGGCGCAGGCGAGGGUGGUGAGGACCGUGCUGUGGACUAAGGCCUGCGAGCCUGCUCAGGGUGCCUGGGGCCCCUUGUAUAGUACUUUGUUAAUCCUAUUUUCAAGUGAUAUAGUAUCUUUAAGUGGUUGUUAUAUGUCUGUCUGUCUUUUCUCUCGAGGCUUCUUUUUAUUCCUUUUUGCGCCUAUGUUUGUUUUUUUCUCACUUGGUCUUUUGUUCGAGGCGGUCUCGAUUGCCUCAAGGGUGAGGAGGCGAGUAGAGUUUCCAUAGCCCGGGGGCGUAGGAGUUCUCAGGCUCGUCGUUUCUCGUCCCUUAAGGGGCUCGAGGUACCUUUACUACUCAACCGUGUGAGAUUACCGAUAGGAAUGAAAGGAUUGCUAGAUUUUUUCCGGCGCUUGGGGGGGUCGCCCCCCUUGCUAGCCCCCGAGGGAGUGUCGACUAUGAUGGGUCGUAGUCGAUACUCCCUUCUAUCGUUGAGACUUAUGGAAAAGUAAAUCGCUCAAGGGAAAGACUUCAUUUAUUAAUAUAUUCCUUUACAAGGACUUGGUACAAAGCACACGUAGGAACAUAAAGCUUUGAAAUUCUAGGGGUAGAAUCGACGUAGCUGUUCGAUGUUCCAUGCGUUGGUGAAGACCGCCCCCUUUUCAUCCGCUAACUUGUAUGUUCCUGGCUUCAAGACCUCGGCCACCACGUACAGGCCUUCCCAAGGCAGAGUCAACUUGUGGCGUCCUUGAUUGCUUUGCCGUCAUUGCAGGACAAGGUCGCCCACGUUUAAGUCCCUCCUGCGCACGUGCUUGUCGUGGUAGCGUCGAAGCUUCUGCUGGUAUCUAGCAGAGUUGAUGAGGGCCAUGUCUUGAGCUUCUUCGAGUUGGUCGACCGCGUUUUCUUGAGAUUCUUUAUUUGAUUGCUCGUUGUACGCUUUGAGCCGAGGGGACCUGUCGACGAAAGCUAGUCGGCAGUCUACCUUGGGGUAUACCCACGGUAGUAGUUUAUCGGUAGACGGUGCGCAAACUACGAACUCGAUGGUGACGCAAGACACGGACAAGCUUUUUAUCCAGGUUCGGCCGCCGAGUUGGCGUAAUACAUACGUCCUGUGUCUGGUUGUAUUGAUUUGUGUUGAGAGAAUAUGAUGUCCUAGGGGGGUCCCUUGCCCCUCCUUAUAUAGUCUGGAGGGCAGGGUUACAGAUCUGGAAACUAAUCCUAGUCGGUUACAAUUGCCAUAGAUAAUUUGAUAUCAAUUCCUAUUCUAACCGACUAGAAUCCUGCUUGAUAUCCACGUCUUGUUUCCUUGCGCGAAACUCCGAGCUGCCGGAUCAAGCCUUGAAAUCGUCUCGUAGUGGGCCAAGCUUCCUGGCUGAAGUCUAGCCGUAAGGGUAUAGGGGUUUAUACCCCCACAGCUAGUCCCCGAGCACCAUGUAUUGUGAUGCAACACGCCGUCUUGAGCUUCAUCGAUCAGCAAGGCUUGGCGUCUUCAAUGAGCGGGAAGAUCGCCCAAGCAGUUGCAACGGUUCCUUGACCAACUCGAAAGACAGUUGAUCAACAUUGACAUCGAAGAGGCAGGUUGUUCAAAGAAUGCAUGGUGCUCUUAAAAAAAAAUUCUUUCCUGGUGAAGUGUGCCCACUUUACCUUUUUGAAAGGUAAAAGCAUCAAAAAAGCAAACAAAUUCACCGCUAGGUGAAGUGUGCCCACUUAGUCCCCGAGCCUGGUAGUAGGUGACGUAGGCACGUGGUGCCAGGGUCAAAAGAAAAUUCCCCAAAGUAGUUUUGAGACUGAGAUGCAUCGCUAGAUGCAUCGUACCGAUGUAGUCCCCGAGCUUGCUGGAAGGCGAAUUAUGAGCCUUGUAGCAAGGUCUAAAGUGAAUUUACCAGUCCCCGAGCAUGUCAUGCUCGCCUGCAAUUGAAAAGACCAAUCGACCAGUCCCCAAGCACUUAGUGUGCUUCUUGGAAUUAUAUGUUGCUAUACUGUACGACCAGUCCCCGAGCGUGGAGUGCUCAGUGGUCGGUGCAUGCUUUAAAGCUUUGAGCUGAUAGACUGAGCGACCAGUCCCCGAGCGUCGAGUGCUCGGUGGUCGGUGCAGUCCUUGAAGUUCCCAGCUGAUAGACUGGGCGACCAGUCCCCGAGCGUCGAGUGCUCGGUGGUCGGUGCAGUCCUUGAAGUUCCGAGAUGAUAGACUGGGCGACCAGUCCCCGAGCGUCGAGUGCUCGGUGGUCGGUGCAGUCCCCGGAUUGUUGACUCACUGGCGUAUGUGUCUUCUUACUUUUGAAAAGAUCUUUCCAGUUAAAGUUGACGUGACGAGGUCUCCUGACGAUAUGUCAGACGGAUGCAUGAAAAGUUGCACCUGGCAACUGUACAACCGCUCUUUGCAUGGUUUGAGAAAGGAAACCAUUAAUUGGUACGAAAACUCCGCCGCAUUAAUUGUCUAUAAUCAUUGUAAACCGAAACGCCGCGUCCGCCGCGCGGCCUGCCCACUUCCCGAGAAUACAGGAAGUGGGAGAGGUGGAGUCGCGGGUUUAUAAGGGCCUAAUAGGUCCGCCUGUACCGCUUCGCCUGCCAUUGCCUUCAAACCUUCCGCUCUCAUCUUCUCCAAUCUCCUGCAUCUUCCUAACUCCAGCCCACAUUCGCACCUCUAAUGGCGAAGAGCGACUCCAGGAAGAGGGCCGAACUGAUGGCCAAGGAAUGGAAGAAGUCUCGCAGCACCACAAAAUCUCUUGGUGACCUCGUCGAUAUGGGGCUUCUGCACGGCGCAGAGCUCGGCGGCUGGAGGGCGCCGGAGGAGGAGAGCUACCCCGACCCUCGCGCCGGUGAGAUCGUCGUUUUUGAAGAUUUCGUUAAGAGAGGCUUUGGUGUUCCUGUUCAUCCUUUUCUUCAAGGUCUUCUUUUGUACUAUGAGAUCGGGAUUUGCAAUCUGCACCCGAACUCAAUUCUCCUUAUUUCCACCUUCAUCCACCUGUGCGAGGCCUAUGUUGGCAUAGAGCCGCACUUCGAUCUUUUCCGGUAUCUUUUCUGCUUGAGGAAGAAGGGAGCAGUUGGAGGCUCCAAGGUUGCAGGUGGAGUAUACCUCAACCUUCGUGAUGGGAUGAAGAAUCGCUACCUGCACUGCCCAUGGAACACUUCCUUAACCGAAUGGUACAGGAAGUGGUUCUACAUCAGGGAGGAACCGGGCAGCUCCACGUUCUGCGACGUGGGAUACAUUCCCGAGAAGAGGGCGAGCUGGACCGACCGCCCGGAGUUCGACGGUCCAGUGGCGGAUCUCAUGAAGCUGAUCGACUGGUCGCGCCUAGACGGGCUUGGCGUGGUCGGCAACUUCAUUUGCCGCCGGGUGAUGCCCUGCCAGAAGAGGGUGCACUCGGCGUACGAGUAUGCCGGAAGCGCAGACCCGACCAGGAUGCGGUCGGAGAUCUUGGAGAAAGCGGAGGUACAACAGCUGUUGAACGAGCUGUUUAACUUCGCGGAUGGGGGCUUCAUCCGUGGCAGUGACCGGGUGCAAGCCUUCAAGUUAGGACGACCAGCACCAAAGGUAUGUAGCAGAUUCUGUUUGAUCAUUCGUAUAUCGUCUGCAGUUGACUCAUCUCUGUUGCUUUUGCAGGUCGGUGAUGUCGACCGGUGCGCAGUGUAUGUAUCACUGGCACCGGGGAUGCAAAAUCCUGUGGGAGAGGUCCCGCCAGAGGAGGACGCUGCUCGGUGUACCCAUUACACCAGCAGUGAGGAAGACCGAGCCCGCCCCAUCCCGACCUCCGAGGAGAGGGUAGCGGGGAAAAGGCCAUUGCCGGCAGAUCCCUUGCCGACACCGGAGCUGCCGGCAGAUCUACCGGCGGAGAGCAGCCAAGCACCGAAGCGUCGUCGGCUCGUGCCGUCGUUGGUCCGACGGCCUCGGAGCCGCCCAGACACUGCGCCGGUCGCCACUGAUCGAGUGGCCAGCGGCGCCGCUGCCCCGCAAGUUGUCGAGAUGGGGGCACAGGUGCCGACCGGCCGGGCGAGGAGGAGGUUCACCGCGACCCACCGUCGGUCAGACCUGUAAGUGUUCGACUUACGUAUUUUGGACUCCUCUUUUUUUUUAACUUUUGUUCCUGUAGUGCGGCAUCGGAUGUCGACCCUGGCCAAACUGCCAGCUAGGGAACGGGCGAGCCUGCCCGCGGUUCUGGGGAUGCGGCCCCCCAGACCACAGAGCAGCCAACAGCUGCAGUCGCGCCUGGGAGCCCCGGGCUCCCAAGCGCGGCGCCGACUACAACAAGCAGCCCGACCAGGGCUGGAGAGGCUCCCCCAACUGACUCCUCAGAGAAGGGAAGAUCUCCGACCGCUCCUCCUGCCGGGGGGAGUGAAGUCCCCCCGCCGCCCCGAGCAGGAGCCUCUUCGGCUGCGGGCUCCCCAGGUCUGGUCCAAGGGCCAGUAAUGCCUGGGACCACCACCGGGGGUGACGCAGCACAGGAGGAGGAAACCCGGGCGGCCUCCGAUGACGAGGUGGAAGAGAUCGAGGGUCGUCCCCGUGAUGGCCGCCAACACGUGUAUGUGUGGCGCCAACGCGGGGAUCACUUUAUCGGGCAUGAGGAGCUCGCCGAGACCGAAGAGGCCGCCAGGGUGGAGCGCGCAGCCAAGCGCCUCGUCGACGAAGUCAAGGUAAGCGGCUUUUUGUGCUGCUGCGCAUUCUUUUGCCUUGUCUUGCAUGGUCGUUAUAUGCUUGCUUUGUAGGACGUAAUGAAAACGGCGAAGUACCGGAAACGGUGCUUUGACCAGAUAGAAGGCGUCAUGGCCGAGAACAAGGCCCUUGCCGCGGAGGUAGACCGGUUGCGGGCAGAGGUCGGGGAGAAGGUGGUCGAGGUGAGUGCCGAAAAGGAGCGUCGUCUCGACCUCGCUCGUCGUUUGGCCGACCAGUACCGGCUGCAAGAAGGUUAGUCACACGCUCCGAGCAGCUUCGCGUACUUGUAUAGUUUGCUUUGCUGACCAGUUUAGGAAUCACGCAGACUUGGAGGAGGAGGUGGCGAGCCUCCGACAAGAGAAGGAGCAGCUCAGCCAACAGCUCGCCGGUGCGCUGGAGUCCGGGCGGCGAGCAGAAGAGGAAUUGGGUCGAAAAGACCGGGAGCUAUCUGGUAAUGGGUGCCGCCUUGUUGGUUGCUGCCUGCCCCUUUAUUUGUCUGGUAUGCCGAAAGUAACGUUUCGUUUCGUUUGCAGUGCUCAAGGUGAACACCAAAAAGCACCUGGAUGACCUGAUCAAGGACCGGGACUCCUGGAAGGUCAACUGUUGCAGGAUCUGGAAAGGAGUGUCCCCGGUCCUAGACCUGAUCAGUCCCGAGCUCCCGGAGAGCCAGCCCCGCGUGCCGCAGUUGACCCCGGUCGAGAAGGCGCAACGGGCGUGGGACUGGCUCCAGCAGUUUGUGAAGGACACCGGGGAGUUUGCCGGCGCGCACGUCCUCAGCAUGGUGCGCGCCCACUACCCCCUGGUCGACUUGAGCAGGCUGGAGAAGGGGUACCCGAAGGAAGUCGGCCCACAGGAAGCGGACGAACUUCGGGGUAAUCUGCUGGACUUGUCGUCGACAGUGAUCGGCGACAUCAAUCUGUGCGGAACGGCCACUCCUCCAGACCAGCCGAGCUCAGAUAGGUCGGCCAGGGAGUUGUCGGGCGCGUCCGUUGCGGGAGAUGGGCGGUCGACGCCUGCGGUCUCGACCAGCCAGGCGCCGGUGGCCCCGACCCCUUCGUCCGGGCAGCAGGGCCAGGCGGGUGAUCAGCCCGAGCAGCUAGGCCAAUAAAGUAGUCUGUAGGAAUAGACUAGUGUUUGCCCGUCAGGGUAUUUAUUGUAAACUUUGUAUGUAAAGUUUGUAAUAAAGUUUGCUUUUUGUCAUGACUGUUGUUUUGAGCGCUGUAAGAAUGUCUGAGUGACGUGUCACCGUAUUUGUCUUGGUUGGCGCUAAGAGCAUCCGUUGCAGGAGUUUUGCCGAGUGCUGUGUGUGACAAGGUAUGGGCCAAAAAUAGAGAAUUUCAUUAUCAAAAAUUAUAAGAUACUUACAAAAGAAAGUCAUUAAAACUUUAUGGAUAGAAACGUCGCAGUUUGUCGAUGUGCCAAGAGUUAGGCACUCGUGUUCCGUCUGGGUAUGCCAAUCUGUAGGACGUAGGUCGUGUGACCUCGGUCACUACGAAGGGUCCUUCCCAGGGAGUGGAUAGCUUGUGCAUUCCCUCCUGGCUUGUUUUCCAUCGAAGCACCAGAUCGCCGACCACGAAAGAACGGUCCUUGACAUUCCUGUUGUAGUAUCGCCUGACUGCUGCGAGAUAUUUUGCUGUUCGGAGACACGAAACUAAACGCUUUUCCUCCAUGCAAUUGAUUUCGAGUCCUCUGGCGUUGUCGGCGGUCGCCUGGUCGAAGUGCUCGAUUCUAGGAGAUCCGAAGUGUGUGUCAGACGGCAAGACCGCCUCUGCACCGUACACCAUGAAGUAGGGAGACACCCCUGUGUUUCGACUGGUCUGAGUUCGGAGGCCCCAGACCACUGCCGGCAAUUCUUUCAUCCAUCGACCGGGUGCUCUGUCGUUUUCGGUGUACAACCUUUUCUUUCGGGCGUCGACGAUCAUUCCGUUAGCACGUUCAACUUGACCGUUGGCACGUGGAUGUGCCACUGACACAUAUUUUAUGACUAUGCCUCUGUCAUCGCAGAAAUCCCAAAAAGUGGUGCCAGUAAACUGAGUGCCCAGGUCGGUGAUUAUGCUGUUCGGGAUGCCGAAUCUGUGUAUGAUUUGAUUGAGGAACUCCACAGCCUUCUCGGAGGUUGCCUUGACCAGGGGCAUGUAUUCAAUCCACUUGGAGAACUUGUCGAUUAACACGAAGACAAACUUGAAAUUGCCCGGGGCUGGUUUAAAUGGUCCGAUCAUGUCAAGCCCCCAGCAAGCAAAGGGCCAAGACGACGGGAUGGUUUGAAUUUCAUGGGCAGGUACGUGGGUCCUCUUAGCGAAAAACUGACAUCCUUCGCAAUGCCGAACCAGUUUUUCUGCGUCGCCGACCGCGGUUGGCCAAUAAAAACCUGCUCGGAAAGCCCUUCCGACCAGCGUUCUAGAUGCGGCGUGGUUGCCGCAGGAUCCGGCGUGUAUGUCCUCCAAGAGCUUGAUACCAUCAUCUUGGGGUAUGCACUUGAGCAGUACUUCGGAGCUUGCGUUUUUCCGCAUGAGUUUUCCGUCGACCAGGAUGUAGUUCUUUGAUCGUCGGAUGAGACGCUCGUUCUCUGUUUUGUCCUGAAAGCCUGUCCCGUCUGAUAUGUAUUUGAUGAACGGGGUACGCCAGUCACGCCCACCGGUUGUCGGAGUGGCGUCAUCUAUGAGCAUUGCCUCGGUGGGUUGCUUGUCGACCAGGGGGGAGCUUACGCUCGGCUCAUGGAUGUCCUGGACGAAAAUACCCCGCGGGAUUUGGGCCCGAGAUGAGCCUAACUUUGACAACGCAUCUGCUGCUUGGUUCUUAUCCCGGACCACGUGGAUGUACUCUAUGCCAUAGAAGUUAGUUUCCCAUUUGCGAAUUUCUUUGCAGUAGAGAUCCAUCUUCUCGUGGGUUGCGUCCCACUCCUUGUUGAGCUGGUUGAUGACCAAAGCGGAGUCGCCGUAGACAUAGAGGCGCUUGACCCCCAGUUCGACGGCUAGUCGUACGCCAUGUAAGCAUGCUUCGUAUUCAGUGACAUUGUUUGACGCCGGAAAAAGGAUCUGAAGGACGUAGCGGAGUUUGUCCUUGUUGGGUGAUACGAACAAUAUCCCAGCGCCUGCACCGUUGAUGUUCAAGGACCCAUCAAAGAACAUUGACCAGUGGUCUGAGACGUCUGGAACGGAAGGCUCGUUGAGAUCCGUCCAUUCGGCAAUGAAAUCGACCAGGGCUUGAGACUUGACAGUGGUGCGACUCUGGAACUCUAGGGAAAAUGGACAUAAUUCCAUUGCCCAUUUCACGAUUCUGCCAUUGGCGUCUUUAUUGCGCAGGAUGUCCCCGAGAGGAAAGCUGGUUGUCACCAGGACUCGAUAGCCGUCGAAGUAGUGCUUCAGCUUUCUUGACGUUAUCAGGAUGGCGUAUAUAAGCUUCUGUAUUUGUGGGUACCUGGCCUUGGAUUCGUUUAAAACUUCGCUUAUGAAGUAAACGGGUCUCUGGACCUUGAAGACGUGACCUGGUUCAUCUCGCUCGACCACUAUUGCCGUGGAAACAACCCUGUCGGUUGCAGCAAUGUAAAGGAGUAGGUCUUCAUUGGGCUGAGGCGCUGUGAGGACAGGCGGUGAAGUGAGGAAGGUCUUAAGCUGAGUGAACGCAGCGUCGGCUUCCUCUGUCCAAGAGAAUUUUUCUGACGCUUUCAGUAGUUUGAAGAAAGGGAGGCCUUUUUCUCCCAGCCUUGAGAUGAAACGACUGAGGGCGGCCAUGCAUCCGGUUAGCUUCUGAAUAUCCUUGACGUUCUUCGGUGGUCGCAUGUCGAGUACGGCUUUGACUUUUGAAGGGUUUGGUCGUAUGCCGUCGCGACUGACGACGUUGCCGAGCAGUAGACCGGAAGGAACGCCGAAAAUGCAUUUCUUGGGGUUGAGCUUCCACUUGUACCUAUUGAGUGCCUUGAAGGUUCGGUCUAAGUUGUCGAUUAGGGUGCUCGCGUCCCUUGUUUUUACGACCACGUCGUCCACAUAGGCCUCGACGAGGUCAUCGCGAAUCUCGUCGUGGAGGCAUUGCUGGAUGGCCCUUUGAUAAGUGGCCCCAGCGUUUUUAAGUCCGAAAGACAUGGUAGUGUAACAGUAUGCGCCGAAGGGUGUGAUGAAGGAUGUUUUGAUCUGAUCUUCUUCCUUUAACGAGAUCUGGUGAUAACCAGAGUAGCAAUCUAGAAAGGAGAGGAGUUCGCAUCCGGCCGUUGAGUCGACCACCUCGUCGAUGCGAGGAAGACCAAAAGGAUCUUUAGGACAGUGUUUGUUGAGAUCGGUGUAAUCAAUGCACAUUCUCCAUUCAUUAUUCUUUUUGCGUACAAGAACCGGAUUGGCGAGCCAAUCGGGAUGAUACACUUCUUUUAUGAAUCCGGCUGCUAGAAGCCGUGUUAUUUCUGUCCUAAUAGCCUCCUUUUUGUCACGAGCGAACCGUCGCAGUUUUUGCUUGAUUGGUCUUGCGGUCUUCGAGACGUUUAAGGAGUGCUCGAUCAGGUUUCGUGGGACACCGGGCAUGUCUGCGGGUUUCCAUGCGAAAACGCUCACGUUGUCCCUUAGAAACCUGACGAGCGCGUCUUCCUAUUUUGGAUCCAGGUUAGCCCCGAUGAGGGCUGUCUUCUCGGGGUUGCCUUCGACCAGCUGCACUUCUUUGUGCUCCUUGGAUUUCGAAUUCUUUCUGGCUGUCUCCUGCUCAGGUAAUCGGAGCUGGUCGGGAGGCAGCUGUGCGGCUUGGUUUGCUGUUUCCGCCAUGCGGAUUGAGAGGUCCAUUGCCUCGGUGAUCUUGAAGCUUUCUUCUUCGCAGGUGUACGCAGUGUAGACGUUGCCUCUGAUGGUUAGGACACCCUUCUCCGUGGGCAUCUUAAGGACUAGAUAUGAGUAGUGCGGGACUGCCAUGAACUUUGUCAGCGAUGGGCGGCCCAGUAUGGCGUGGUAGGUCCCGUCGAAAUCCGCGACUACGAAGUUGAUGAACUCCGUCCGGAAGUGAUCGGGUGUGCCAAAUUGUACAGGCAAUGUUAUCUGUCCGAGGGGCACCGAACUUUGACCUGGCAAAACCCCCCAGAAUUGGGCGUCGUAAGGUUUUAGUUGUGCCGGUGAUAUCUUGAGGGCGGGCAGGCUGUUGCGGAAAAGGAUGUCGAUGGAGCUUCCCCCGUCCACGAGCACGCGCUCGAAUCUGAUGCUAUUGAUGCAGGCAUCAAGAAUCAGUGGGAAACGACCCGGCUCUGGGAUAGCGGCCCACUGGUCCUUCCUGCUGAACGAGAUCUCCCUGUGGGACCAGGCGGGAAAUUUCGGAUCUGCGAUCAGCCCGUCCGUGCUGUCUAUGUUGAGGCAGGCUCUCUUUAACAGCUUUCUUUCUCGCUUGGACUCAGUGGAGACCUUGCCCCCGAAAAUGGAGUGGACCACGUCGGUGGGGCUAACGUACUGGUGUCGGGGGUCCCUGUCUUGGUCCUCAUCCUCAUCUUCGUGGUCGUGCCCGUCGCGUUUGUUAUUUUUCUUGGCGGAGUCCUCUUGGGCGGCCCGCCGUGUAUAGAUACUUUUGAGGACGCGGCACUCUUCCAUGGUAUGGUUAGACUUUGGGUGUAGCUGGCACGGUCCCUUCAACGUUUUGUUGUAGUCGUCUUGGUAGUCCCGUCGUCCGUUGGGACGUUUGACCGUAUUUACUUCGUGGUCGUAUUCACGAGGGCGCUUUCCUCUGAUGUCGUCGCGGCUGUCGCGCCGCCGAUCCCAACCCUCUCGGUGAUCGCGGUUGUCGGAGCGGCGGUGAUUUCUGUUGUCGUAGCGACCACGACCGUCAUCUCGCCGGGAAGGCUGGUCGGGGCCUCUCGCGUCGUCUCGGAUUAGUUUUUCUGCGUCAUCAGCAUCGGCGUAAUUUUUAGCCGUGGCGAGGAGCUCUGCUACCGUUGAUGGGCGCUUACGCAAUAGCUUGUUCCUCAGCGCUUCAUGGAAACGCAAGCCCUUGAUAAAGGCUGAUAUGGCCUCGUCAUGAGAAAUCUUCGCGAUUUUGAGGCGCAUAUCCGAGAAUCGUCGGAUGUAAUCGCGCAGAGGUUCAUUCUUCCUGUCUCUUAUCCUUUCAAGGUCAUACUUGUUUCCGGGCUGCUCGCAUGUGGCGAUGAAGUUGUCGAUGAAAGCCUGUCGUAGCUCUUCCCAAGAGUCGAAGGAGUCCUCGGGCAAGCCGAGAAGCCACUGAUGACCAGCCUGGUCGAGGACUACGGGGAAGUAGUUAGCCAUGACGUGCUCAUCUCCUGCCGCUGAUCGGAUGGCGAUUUCAUAGAGAGUGAUCCAGUUCUCUGGAUUUUCCUUGCCGUCGUAUUUUUUAAGUUUUUCGAGCUUGAAAUUGCGGGGCCACACGACCUGGCGGAGAUGUGAGGAGAACUGCCUUAGGCCCGGAGGACCGUGGGUCGCAUCGUACUCGAUGCGGCGCAGGUUUUCGUGGACUGCUCUCUCUGCGGCGCGCCUGUUGAUGCGGUCCCGGGCAUCUUUGGGAGGGAUGUUGUGGCGGAGAUCCCUGUGUUGAUCUUCUUCUUCUUGGCCGCGUACGCGGUUCUGCUGGCGGCGGCCAUCGGCGUCCCGACCACCAUCGUCGCGCCGUGAGUCCCCUCGACGGUUGUCGGGGGAGCGGCUGCGGUGACGCCUGCUGGGUGAGGCCCGGCUACGAUUAGUCUGGUCGGAGGCAGCUUCCGUAUAAGAGACGUCCUGGACUCUCUUGAGCAGAGUGGCUGUCUGUCCCAUUGCGGCGAUCAGGUGUGCUCGGAUGCUGGUCCGGACUCCCUGGCAUUCGGGGGUGUCAGGAAGCCGAUCCAGGUUAGCCAUGGCGACAGCCACGUUGGCGCUUGGCGUUUUGUAGACCGGCUGGUCCCCGACCAUGUCAAAGGCAUCGUUGAGGUUACUUGGUGGCAUCUGUUGUUGCUCGUCCGCACGCCGUCGGGCGCGAUCGGCGUUACGCUGUUCGCGGAGUUGCCUCUGGUCAUCUGUUUCUCCGUCAACAGCCGGUUCGUCGGCGCUGACAUUGAACACGAUAUCCCCUCGCCGGGGGGGGGGGGGGAUAUCGGGAAUCGGUCGAAACCCGGAGGGUGUGAAGGAAAAUCCAGGUCGUAGCCCUCGUCUUCGGUGUUUAUAACCUCGGUGGGGACGGAGCCGGUGCUUGAGUUGGUGCUGGAAACCUGGCCAUCCCGUAGCUCUCGGAUUGUCACCAUGUUGACAUGGUGACGAUUGUUCCUUGUCGGCGACCAGCCCGCUUUGCUGAAAACGGAUUGGACAUGCUGUGAGUAAACAGAGGCCGAGUUGUUCAGGCCGCAAGGAUAGUCUUCCUUUUUGAGCUCGACGGAUCGUCCUGAGGGGGUUGAGGUUAUCGUCAGGGACGUUCCCAGCCGUUCGUGUGUGGCGACACGAGUUGGCCGGCGGGAUUUCGAAAAAUCCGCUCGAGCAACUUGGUCGGGCCGGCGCAGAACUCCAUCUAUUAGUUGGGAGACUUCGAGUAGCUUGGAGUCAGCGCGAUCGAGCGCUUGGAGGAGGUCCGAGCAGUCGAUCUCCUUUCCCUUGUAGAGUGGGAACGGUGGUCGGGAGCUUGGUGCCGUCAUGCGUGUGGUCGGAGACGGCGUGAUCUCAGAUUGGAUCUGGAUCUCUUUCGGAACCGUGGUCGCGAAGCCGCCGCUGCACGUCGUCCUUGUGAUCUGGCCGACGGUGAACGUGAGGCCUUCGGGCACGGUCGCGGAAGCUGGGAUCGUGACCAUCUUGUUCGCCGGAAAAGUUGCACGCACACCCCCUACCUGGCGCGCCACUGUCGACGAAAGCUAGUCGGCAGUCUACCUUGGGGUAUACCCACGGUAGUAGUUUAUCGGUAGACGGUGCGCAAACUACGAACUCGAUGGUGACGCAAGACACGGACAAGCUUUUUAUCCAGGUUCGGCCGCCGAGUUGGCGUAAUACCUACGUCCUGCGUCUGGUUGUAUUGAUUUGUGUUGAGAGAAUAUGAUGUCCUAGGGGGGUCCCUUGCCCCUCCUUAUAUAGUCUGGAGGGCAGGGUUACAGAUCUGGAAACUAAUCCUAGUCGGUUACAAUUGCCAUAGAUAAUUUGAUAUCAAUUCCUAUUCUAACCGACUAGAAUCCUGCUUGAUCUCCACGUCUUGUUUCCUUGCGCGAAACUCCGAGCUGUCGGAUCAAGCCUUGUACUCGUCUCGUAGUGGGCCAAGCUUCCUGGCUGAAGUCUAGCCGUAAGGGUAUAGGGGUUUAUACCCCCACAGGACCCAUACUCGAGGUCUGUGGGGAGGACAGCCUCAGAGCCGUAGACCAUGAAGAAUGGGGUGUAUUUCAUGGCCCUGCUUGGCGUCGUCCUUAGGCUCCAUAAUACCGAGGAAAGCUCCUCGACCCACUUCUUGCCAAAUUUCUUCAAGCGAUUGUAGAUCCUCGGUUUGAGCCCCUACAAAAUCAUGCCGUUGGCACGCUCGACCUGGCCGUUAGUUCGAGGAUGGGCCACUGCAGACCAGUUCACACGGAUGUGAUGCUGAUCACAGAAGUCCAAGAACUUUCUGCCCGUGAACUGAGUGCCGUUGUCGGUGAUGAUGACGUUGGGGAUCCCGAAUCGGUGGAUGAUGUCGGUGAAGAAAAGGACGGCUUGUUCGGAGCGGAUGUUGGUGAUGGGUCGAGCCUCGAUCCACUUGGAGAACUUGUUGAUAGCCACCAGCAAGUGGGUGUACCCUCCUUUUGCCUUUUGUAGAGGCCCUACUAAGUCGAGCCCCCAUACUGCGAAUGGCCAUGUGAUGGGGAUCAUCUGAAGAGCGUGGGCAGGCAAAUGCGUCUGUUUGGCGUAGAACUGGCACCCGUGGCAUGAGCGUACGAGCUCGAUGGCAUCGCCUACGGCCGUUGGCCAGUAGAAGCCUUGUCGGAAGGCGUUCCCUACGAGGGUCCGUGGAGCAGCAUGGUGGCCACAAGCCCCCGAGUGUAGGUCCUCGAGGAGUUUCCGGCCUUCUUCCACGGUGAUGCAAUGCUGCAAGACCCCCGUCGGGAUUUGUCGAUAUAGCUCGUUGUCCUCACCAUAGAUCACAUACGACUUGGCCCGUCGAGCGAUACGGCGGGCCUCGGAUCGAUCUUCUGGCAGCUCGCAGCGGAUUAGGCAGUCGAGGAACGGCGUGCGCCAGUCGAACGGUCGACCGAACCGUUGUUCUGCCUCCAUCACCUCAGCUGCCAUCAAUAGUGUGUUGACGGUUUCGGUUUGCUGGGCAGGAGCAGCAUCGACGCCAGCCCCCGAGCCCAAGUCGACGGAUGGCUCGUGAAGAUCUCUUGAGAACGCGUCAGGUGGUACCGUGCCUCGGGUCGACGCGAUCUUGGCGAGUUCAUCGGCUGCCUCGUUGUAGCGUCGGGCGACGUGAACGAGCUCGAGGCCAUGGAAUUUGUCCUUGAGUCGAUGGACUUCCUUGCAGUACGGCUCCAUUUUCAGGUCGUGGCAACUUGAGGUCUUCAUCACUUGGUCAAUGACGAGUUGGGAGUUGCCUCGGACGUCAAAGCGUCGGACUCCUAGCUCGAUGGCGAUCUUGAGACCGUUGACGAGGGCCUUGUACUCUGCGACAUUGUUGGAUGCAGCAAAGUGAAUCCUGAUGAUGUAUCUCAUAUGAACGCCCAAGGGCGAGAUGAACAGCAGGCCAGCCCCAGCUCCCGUCUUCAUGAGUGACCCGUCGAAAUACAUCGUCCAUAACUCCGACUGGACCUGAGUCGGGGGAAGCUGGGAGUCUGUCCACUCCGCGACGAAAUCCAUCAGGGCUUGCGAUUUGAUAGCCUUGCGAGGCGCAUAAGUGAGAGUCUCACUCAUGAGCUUGACUGACCAUUUGGCUAUUCUUCCCGUGGCCUCCUUACUUUGGAUUAUCUCUCCUAGGGGGAAGGACGAGACCACCGUGAUAGGGUGGCCGAGGAAGUAGUGCUGCAGCUUGCGUUGGGCGAGGAUUACGGCAUAGAUCAGCUUCUGGAUUUGGGGGUAACGUGCCUUGGUCUCCGAGAGCACCUCACUGACGAAAUAGACCGGUCUCUGGACUGGCAACGCAUGCCCCUCCUCCUGCCUCUCGACAACCACAGCUCCACUGACGACCUGAGUCGUCGAGGCAACGUAAAGGAGCAGUGGUUCUGCAGGUUGAGGCGGGACCAGGACUGGUGCUGAAGUCAGCGUUUUCUUCAAGUUUUCGAGGGCUUCCUCGGCCUCGGGGGUCCAAGAGAAACGCUCGACCUUCUUCAGGAGUCGAUAUAAUGGUAAUGCCUUUUCUCCUAACCUCGAGAUGAAAUGGCUCAGCGCUGCUAGGCAUCCCAUGACUCUCUGCACACCCUUGAUGUCUCGAAUCGGGCCCAUUCUCGUGAUGGCCGAGACUUUCUCGGGGUUGGCCUCGAUGCCACGCUGGGAAACAAUGUAGCCCAGGAGCAUGCCUCGAGGCACGCCAAAAACGCAUUUCUCGGGAUUGAGCUUGAUCUGGUUGGCGCGUAAGCAGCUGAAAGCGAUCUCGAGAUCCUGGAUCAGGUCACCUUGCCGCUUUGAUUUGACGAUGAUGUCGUCGACAUAGGCCUCGACCGUCGACCCUAUGUGUUUGCCAAACACGUGGAGCAUGCAACGUUGGUACGUAGCUCCCGCGUUUCGAAGCCCAAAUGGCAUGGUUACAUAACAAUACAUCCCAAAAGGUGUGAUAAUAGACGUCGCGAGCUGGUUGGACUCUUUCAUUUUUAUUUGGUGGUAACCGGAAUAUGCAUCAAGGAAAGAAAGGGUUUCACAUCCCGCAGUAGAAUCAACAAUUUGAUCAAUACGUGGUAAAGGAAAAGGAACUUUCGGACAAGCUUUAUUUAAACUCGUGUAAUCGACACACAUCCUCAUUUUCCCAUUCUUUUUCUUAACUAGUACAGGGUUUGCUAACCAGUCGGGAUGAUGAACCUCCUUGAUAAAUCCGGCCGUCAAAAGCUUGUGGAUCUCCUCGCCAAUGAUCUUGCGCUUCUCCUUGUCGAAUCGGCGCAACCGUUGCUUCACUGGCUUGGAACCGGCUCGAAUUUCCAAGGAGUGCUCGGCGACUUCCCUCGGUACGCCUGGCAUGUCCGAGGGACUCCAUGCAAACAUGUCGACGUUUGCACAGAGAAAGUCGACGAGCACAGCUUCCUAUUUGGGGUCGAGGUCGGCACUGAUCGUCAGCACCUUGCCGUCGGAGUUAUUAGGGUCGAGCGGGAUCUUCUUGGUUCGCUCUGCUGGCUCGAAGCUGCCCGCGUAGUGCUUGGGCUCUGGAGCCUCAGCGGCUAGGGCCUCGAGCUUCGCAACGAGCUUGGUGGAGUUCUCGACCGCCUCCCCAUACUCGAUGCACUCGACGUCACACUCGUAAGCGUGCUCGAAGGAGGAGCUGACGGUGAUGACUCCUUCGGGACCGGGCAUCUUUAGCUUCAAGUAGGUGUAGUUGGGUAUAGCCAUGAACUUGGCGUAGCCCGGGCGCCCGAUGAUGGCGUGGUACGUGCCCCGGAACCCGACCACCUCAAAGGUGAGGGUCUCCUUCCUGAAGUUGGCCGCCAUGCCAAAGCAGAUCGGUAAGUCGAUUCGACCCACUGGCAGCGCCUUUUUCCCUGGCACGACGCCAUGGAAACCACCGGCGCUUGGUUGGAGCCGCCACCUGUCGAUACCUAGGAGGUCGAGGGUCUCGAGGUAGAUGAUGUUGAGGCUGCUGCCACCAUCCAUCAACACCUUUGAGAGCCGGGUGUUGACGAUGAUGGGGUCGACGACGAGCGGGUAGACGCCCGGGGCAACCACCUUGUCGGGGUGGUCCUCUCGAUCGAAGGUGAUGGGCGUGCUCGACCAGCUGAGGUACUGGGGUACCGCCAUUCUCGCUGCGAAGACCUCACGACGUUCCCUCUUGCGCUGCCUUGCAGUCAACUGUGUCGAGGGCCCACCAUAGAUCAUGUAGCAGUCGUGGACGGCGGGGAAACCAUCGUCGUCCUUGUUGCCCUCCUUGUCGCCGCCCUUCUCCUUCUUUGGGUCGUCGCGCGCGUCUUUUUUGAAUCCCAGACCGUCGAAAUGCUUUUUCAGCAUGCGACAGUCUUUGAGCUUGUGAUUGGCUCCUCCCUUAUGGUAAGGGCAUGGCUCCUCUAGCAUCUUAUCGAAGAUGCCUCCAUCUGGGGGACCUCGAGGUCUCUUGCGUUCCAUGGCGGCGAUGAGAUUGUCAUCGAAGUCUUGUCGCGAGAACUGCCGCGCUUUCUGCUUCUUCUUGUUCUUCUUGGGCCCUCGACUGGGGGUCCCAUCUUCGUCGGUAGGCUGCUUGCCUUUCCUUCCUUCACAGCUAAAGAAGGCACCGACCGCUUCCUCCCGUGCUGCGUAAUUUGCCACUACGUCCAUCAGCUCAUCGACGGUCUGAGGGUGAUUCCGGCCCAGCUCCCGCACCAAGUCUCGACUGGUGGUACCAGAGACAAAGGCCAGGAUGACAUCAUGGUCGGGUAUAUGUGGCAGCUCGGUGCGCUACUUCGAGAAGCGUCGAGCAUACUCUCGAAGAGUUUCUCCUAACUUCUGCUUGCACUUGCUGAGGUCCCACGAGUUCUCGGGCCGUAUGUAGGUCCCUUUGAAAUUACCCUCGAAGACUCUAACCAAAUCGACCCAGUCGUGGAUCUGAUUAGCUGGAAGUUCCUCGAGCUACCAACGGGCGGUAUCAGAGAGGAAAAGUGGUAGCUGUCUGAUGAUGGCUCGAUCGUCUCCUCGAGCACCUCCCAGCUGACAAGCUAACCUGAAGUCCGCCAGCCACAGUUCUGGUUUGGUUUCACCAUUGUAUUUUGCGAUGCUGGUUGGGGGUCGGAACGGACUGGGCAGUGGUGUGCUGCGGAUUGCCCUGCUGAACACCCGUGGGCCUGGUGGCUCGAGGGCCAUUCGGUCCUCGUCGCUGUCGUAUCUCCCACCACGAUGUGUGCUGUAACCGCGCUCUUGCGCGUCCCCAUGCCGGCAGCGUCGAUUCUCUUCGAUGUCAUGCCGUGCGUCGUGUCGACGCUGAUUGUCGAUGGGGAGAACGAGCGUGGUCUUUCUUCCUCGAGGGGGUGGCCGUUGAUGGACUGAUGCCUCUUUUUCGUUUUGGGGUGGCUCAUCACGCUUUUCAGUGGCAGCUCCUCGUCGUCGAGAAGCCGAGGUUUCGGCUUGUUGAACUGCUGCCACCUGGAGCAGAGUCUGCACCUCAUCUCGAAUACGUCAAGCUUGGGAAUUUGAUGGCUCUGGCAUGUUGCGCAGCAGCAUUGUUGCCGCCACUACAUUCUGGCCUGCUCGAGGGAAACGGCUGACAGGCUGCUCUGGCUCUGCGUCUCCGACGAUUUGUCGGUGUACCUCUCGAGCGCGUCUGCGGACACUUCCGCCAGGCGGGUAGAGCAAGUCUUGCUCGAGGAUUUGCUCAAGCAGGACGAGGCACUCACGAUCCUCAUCAAGCUUGGUCUUGAGCUCUCGUAACUGCACGAGUUGCGCGGCCUUGUCUUCCUGUGGAAGCGGGUCGACCUGUCCGUUGUUCCCGGGCAUCCUGGGAUCUUCUCCUGCCGCAGGGGCUCGACCGCCGGCAGCCGCAUCUUGCGUCUCGUCGGUAGUUUCUACCGCCCCGUCGAUGUGAUAGCAUUCCCUUGUAGGGUCAUAGCUAUCGGUCUCGGAGUCGGAGUCCAGCUCGGCGGCGUAGUAACAUCCACGUCCUUCCUCCAGCAGCCGCUGCCUGAGCGAGGUGAUCGUGUAUCGUCCAGGGCCUAGGCGGCGGAGGCUUCGUACCCGGGAGAGGUCCGGCAGCUCGGACGUCGGCGGCCGUGCUUCGGAGUCACGUGGAAGGACCAUUGGUCUUUCCACGUAUGUUUGGGCGUCUGGGCAUAUUGCCCUGGCGAGCGACAUCGCGGCGUUGUCCAACCCGAAUGGCAAUGCCCUUCCUGGGGUGAACAACCUGUCACAGAACCGACCAAAUUAUAAGAGUUCAAGUGCAGAAACGAUCGCCAAACAAUCAAGUUUCUAGACUUGAGCCCAUAUAAUCCCGGUAGUCAAUCGAAAUCACGAAGGACUUCAAACCAACUCGCAACAAACCAAGAUCGUAAUGGUUCAACAUAAACACAACGAAUGUUACAUAGUCAUUCAUUGCCGUCGAAGCGGCACCACAUCGGAGUAUUAAGUUAUUACAACACAUGUUCGAAGUAGCGGAAGCAAAAUAAGUACACACACUUGUUCAAAUCUUAGUUCACAAGUUUGUUACUGCCAGAGUCUAGGUCAUCCUUCCAAAAGCAUCAUAGAUGAGAAGAUUAGAGAACCGUGCCCAACGGUUAGUCCUCAUCCCCAGCGGGAUGGAGACAGGUCUUGCAGAAACCGUCAUAGAAGAUAUCAUCUGCAACAGGUGGGAAUAAACCCUGAGUACGAGGAUGUACUCAGCUAGACUUACCCGUCUAGUAAAACACAAAAGACACCAAGGAUCAUGCAAAGCUAAAUUUUAAGUGGAGCUGACUGACUCACCUUUUUGCCAAAAGCUUAACUUACAACUAAAUCAUUUUAAGAGCAUCAAUUUAUUUAUCAACAGCCUACCACUAGAUUAGCACCUGUACUACAACACAUCACUUGAUUAUUACAAACAAUAGUAACCAUAUCAAAUUUCAUCAUAUGUUCUUCUUGCUAUCAUUGUUAUCAUGAACCAAGUUUAUUAGUGAAUGCUACGUUUGCCGCUGCUCUGUCAAGUUCUCACUAACCGGGAGAGACGGCGAUUCGAAUCGAAUUCCCAUCCAGCUGGAGGUUUAUUCCUAGCACUCACCCAAGCAUCCCCUGCCGGAGAGCCAAUGGGUCACCUUUGGUACAACUCACGAAUCGCGGCUCCGAUCAGCGCCGCACUCCCAGGGCUACCACUCUGCCAGGGAGGUCAGGAAUUUUAACUCACCUGCCUUUGGACUUACGCCAAUGGUCCCCCGCACACCGUACUUCCUCCGGUAGUGCGCACUUUAUACUUGCCGGUCUUCCGGCCUGAGUCAUACUACUCGGCUUCGCGGUCGGAACGAGUUAUCCGGCCAACUAAGUGUCAGGCAUGCGUUCAACAUGACAAGAGGACGUACAACGAUCGGUCCUUAGCUGCCACAGACGGAGUUACUACACACUUGCAAAACUCCGCCCGGCUUAAGUCAAUUUAAUCAGGUUCCAUCCACGAUAGCACAUAUAGACCAUCGUGAUCCGACACAACCCUAUAUCGCGCGGAUGACAGGAUAUCACCCGACUUCUACCGAUUAAAGCAUAACUAAGCUGCUACUCGAACCUAACUCUACAACCAGGGAGGGUAAGUUAUCUGGACAAGGAUAGAGUAGGAUGCAGCAACAGUUUCAUCACAACUCCUAUACGUAAUGCAUCAAUAGAUAUAACGUAUUAAGUACACUUUCGAAAAUAGAGGAGGCUUAAAUGCUCCGGGGCUUGCCUUUCACGAACGAUGCCGGCUCGUGACUUGGGCACUCAACUUCUUCUUCGGGCUCCUCGAGUCCGGCUUGCUGGACCUCCACCUCCUGGCUGCCUUCCUGGCCUUCGGGAUUCGCUUGGAGCUCGAAGGAAACUGCCACGUCCGGUGCACCUAUUGCAUGCUCGACGAAUGAGAAAGUGCACAUGCUACAGAUGAAUGCUUAACAACACAAGCAACUCACUGGACACUCAUUUACGGAACAAGAGUUAUACUAACUCACAUGAAUAAACAAGUUAACAUAGCCCAAAACCUAUCAUGGCACUAAAGCAGCAAGCAACAUAAAACAAGUAUGCUCAGUAAAUAAAUCAUAAGUAUAGAUAGACAGGUCCAACAAACAUGAGUGAGGACAUUCUGGAAAGCUUAGGAAAUUGUCUACAACUCAUCUUUAAACAUGACAGCAAGAUUCAAACAUCAAAUUAGUCAUUUUAACAAAGUUCCAGAUUCUGUCCCAGAAAAACAGAGAAUCCCUAUUUCUGGAACCUAACUUGGAACAGCUGUAACUUUUAAACUACUUGGCCAACUGACCUCAAAUUUGAACCACAGUUAGUUCAACAAGUUUAGAACAACUUUGUUUUAUACAAGUUUCACAGAAAGUCAACUUAUCAUUAAGCAAAGUUAAAUUAUUCACUUGCUGUCCAGACAGCAUUUAACCCUAUAGUUAAUUAUUUAAUGACAUGAUCAAAACAUAAACUAGGCCAACCAUAUGACUCAUGAGCACAAACAUAAUACAAGGUCACCAGAUCAUCAGUUGAAAACCCCAAAACAAUUACUUAACAAGGCAUUUAUUAAUUAAUUUUAGAUAAGGCAUAUUUACAAGAUAUUAGUUAAAGUGCUCAGAAAAAUCUACAAAAAUUACAGAGGCACAAGUAUAACAUCAGAUUACCACCAUAAAAAUUUCAGGACCAAUGCACAUGCCAAAUUAAAGAUAUGCAUUUAACAUGUAUCAAGGCAUUUAUUUCACAAAUUCAUAGACAUGACUUAUAUAAUGUCAACAGCAGAUUUCAGAUUAUUUAUAUCUUAGGAAUACCACAAACAAGCUUACCACCAAAAUAGAGCACCAGCAUAAGCACCAAUUAUUUUAUGCGAUUUAAUUAAAGACACAAGCCAUAUUUCAAACACAAAUUACAUAUCACAACUACAGUGCUCCAAAAAUCAUGAAAUAAUUAUCAGAGCAUUCUGAGGCCAUGCAAAGACUACCAUAAAAAUUUCAGAGCAAACUAAUCAGUAAAACCAGAGAUAUGCAUUUAUCCAUGAAUAACAAGAUUAAAUCCUUAAUAAAUAAUUUCUCAGAAAACAUGGUUCAUUUUAUAUUUUUAUUAAAUACUAGCCAUCUCAAGAAACAACACAAAAUUUGUUUCACAAUUUUUGGAUCUCAGAAACAGGAGAUAUGAUUUUUGCAAGAAAGCCAAAAAUCAGGAUUUUGAAUAAAAGAAAAGGAGGGAAAGAGAGAGUCGCUGACAGGGGGUCCCACCCGUCAGGCUCUUCUUCCUCACGACCGAGGCGAUCUUCGCCGGCGAUUUCUCCGCGACGGCGAGGUCUCCGGCCAAACCCAGGGCAUCAACGUGAUCCCCAAACCCUAACGACUCGAUUGACCCCACUUUUGCCACGGCGGAGCCACCGGAAGGGACUCACCGUCGGCAAUGGCGGCUCGGCGGAGGUGCUCGGCGUUACGCCGGAGCCCUCAGGCCGGUAGAGCGUGACCUAAGGCCUUCUACAGCACCAGCAGACUAAGGCGAAGCUCCCUAGGUACACGGCUUGGCCUGGAUCCCCGUGAAAAGCGCUGGCCACGAGAGCACCCAACUCCGGCGGAAGCACGGCGGCGCUGCGCACCGUGUCCGGCGACGGAGAACCCGGUAGAGCGUCCACCAGGUGGCGCAAAAGCUCGCUAAGGACCUAAGCUACCUCUAGGACCUAACCAAAGACGAUGAGAAGCCUCACAGCGCUCGGCAUUGAGUUCGCCGGAGAAGAUGGUCACGGCAGACCGAUUUGGGGGAAGAAAGAAAUGUCGGCUCACCGGUGGGUUUCUCGGCGAGUUAGAGGGUGGAGCUUGGAGAGCGGCUCACGGCGGAGCUUUGGGUGGAGUUUGGUGGAUGGAAACGCAGAGAGGAGCGCACACGAGCUCGCCGGAGUGAGCUCGCGGCGGAGGGCUCGCUGCGGGCGAGGUUCAGGCGAGAGAGGGCGAGGCAGAACGAAAUGGACGCGUCCACGCGCUCGGGGCGUCGCCGUGGUGGUCAUGCACGCGACGAGGGCUGACAAGCGGGGCCAGGAACGGCGUACGGGCGCCAAAUGGCGACGGAGCGCUGCCGGCGGUCGGCCACGUCGACGAGGUCCAAGUCAAUUCAGACAGUGCAUCGACCGACUGACAGAGCGAUUUCACCGGUGAUUAUCUCCCAAACCAGAGCGAAUUAGGCGAUGGCGUAGUUGACAAACUUGGAGUACUAGGCGAGAUCUACAACUUUGUCAACUAGAGCAAAGACUAGAUCGGCUUGGAUUGAAAGAUAUAGAGUUUCCAAAAUCGAUCACGCAAACUGCAAACCACCCGGGGACUUAGAAAAUUUCUAAGUGUGGAAAACAGCCCCAAAUCUGCCUUGUGGACCACUUUUGAGCUAGUUGUGAUCAUUUUCAUGAGAUGGCCAUAAAACAACUUUUGUUCCUUAUAAAAUUUGCUACAACUUUUCUGUAGGAAGUUUUGACAUGCAAACAUUUUAUGAAACACUUUUUAAAAGCCUAAGCAGAAGAGGUUUCUAGGGCCUAUUUGCAUAAGUAAGACUUAAGUGAUUAUUUUGGAGAAGUGAUCAACAUGAACAUUGUUCCCAAGGUUAAGUUAAGCAUAGAUAAGCUAUUUACAAGACAUUAAGCACAUACACAAGCAUUGUUCACUCAAACAUAAGCAUAGGAAGCCUAUUUAAGCAAUUUAAAACACAUUUUUGCAAAGGAUGACAUGUCCCAAGAUAGAUGAUGAUCAUGGAUGCUUUGAAUACAUGAUGAUGCUCAUGCUAUGCACAUGUUUGAUGCAACCAUAACACUGAGGUGUUACACAACCCAUGUGGAAGCAACCUAGCGGUGGGGGAGAGCGCUCGGGGUGCGUUACCUCUUGUCGUCGUAUGGUGUCGGGCCAACAUGCCCGCGGUUUCAGUACGCGGCGCGGCCAGCUCCUGUGCCACCUCCUGCCUAGCACGAACUGCCGGUCGUGACGAGGCAGAGGGAUGACGAUGGUGCUGCCCACGCCUCUUCUUGGGCGGGGAGGCAUUAUGUCGAGGGCGUCUCGGGGCCCUCGUUCGCACUGGCGCAACGCGGGCUCCUCCCGGUCCUCUGAUCGAGAGCAAGACCAUGUCGUAGCCGGAGCCAGUAGACAUGAACUCAAGGCUCCCAAACCAGAUCACCGUGGAGCACGGAAUCGACGAGGCGAGAGUGGCCAUCUGGAAAGGAGUGGGAAAUCGAUGAAAAACACGCAGGACCCCUACCUGGCGCGCCAACUGUCGGUGUUUUCCCCACGGGAGGUCACACAAACGAGUAAAUUUGUAUGCGUGCUCCCUUUUCUAGAUGGUGAUGCAAGAAGACACAAAGAUUUAUCCUGGUUCGGGUAAGAGAAGGCCCUACGUCCAGCGGGGGAGGGAAGUUUGUAUUAUCUUGCACCUAAGUGCUUGUACAGGGGCGAAUACAAGUCUGUAUGAACCGGGAUGGAGUAUGGAAACUUCUCUACGUGUGUGCGUUGUGAUACGUGAUGUCUGUCUAUUCCUGGGUCUCCCCUUUUAUAGCUCCAAGGAGAGACCUAGGGCACAUGUAUAGGUGUGUUAGAGUAGGGGUCGAUAGAGGCAUGGCGUGCUGACCUACUCAAGGCCUCCGUACCGGCGUGGUCUCGAGCCGUCCCGUCUUGGUAGCUUGAUGAUGAUUACGCGUGCCCCUCUAUCCUGCCCUGCGCGCCGUCUUGGGCUGGUUCACUGGUCGCACGCCUGUACGGUAUAGCGGCAGAUCCGGUGGAGUGGCUGCGGUGUUGUCAGUCGACGCCCAACUCUUCCCCAGGAAGGAACCAUGCCUGGUCGAGGGUCAGGCGUCGUGCAGUGCCUUGUCGUCCACAGCGUUGACCUUGGGUGUCUCGAGGGGGUCCCGACUAGACGCUCCAUCCCUACUUUCCGUGCCCUGGCACGCUCUGAGUCGUUUGGUGGGGAAAGCAGCAAAAAGGAUGAUGGGACGGGUGCUGUUCCCUAUCACGCUUCCCGUGACCAGCGUGUUAGGUGGGAAAGCGACAGGCGCAUUAAAUGCCCUGGCUCUCGUGCGCGCGUCAGACGGCAGACAGUGCCCUUGCGCUCGACGCCACCCGAUUCGCUCGAGCCCUUUUCCGUAUUCGACGGUAGUUAGCGCUCGACCCCUGAGUGGUUCGCUCGACGUCUUUUCCGUCUUUGAGGCUGCGGCCGUCGAUGACCGCACGACUUAUUAGAGCGUCGAGUUGAGGCCCUCGAUCUGUGCACGGGUAAUCUCGUUAUGGGCAUCACUUAGGGUACCCCUUACUGAUACCCUCGACAGAAAUGGUGGGGAAAAAACACGAGCUGGACUCUAACAAGUCCUAACGAGCAACAAGACCUCGACCAGGACACAAACUCAACAUUGUGGACUCUGAAACUGAAAUAUGCAAAGGCUAUGGCGUGGAAGGGUUGUAGGACAGGAAAACGAUGUGGCGCUGGACUUAUGGGAAGAACACAAGAACCCUCGAAACUAAGGGUAGAUGUGAACCUAACGGUAUACCUGAAGCUUUGAUUACCACUUGAUGAGAACAAGGGUGGCCCGAUCUUCCGAAAGGCUCUGGUAACUCUUGAUUUGAUGAAGACGAGACACAAAUCGAUACGGCUUCCGAAUAACACGAUCCGAAACCCCACAAAUUUUUUAUUUUUUUGAUAUUUUUAUUUUACUUAGGAGCACUAAAGAAGUAACCACAGAAAAUUUGAGCUUAAACAAGUAAAAGAUGUGGCCUGUGGAAUUUUCUGAAGAUUACAAAAAAUGUGAAAAAAACUUCACAAGGUGAAAACUCAAACUUCGGAGGCGAAUUUGGAGAUUCUAAAAUUUUAAAACCCGCUUCAAGUAGGGACAGACAUAUCUGAAAUUUUGUUCUGAUCGAUUUUGAUAUAUGGAACAUUGAAAUCGCGGUUCGUAUGUGAAAGUUAUGGCUAUUUUACGAACGGACUCCGAAUUAGAGGACAAAAUGGUCCGAAAGUGGGAAAAAUUUGCGGCGAUGGCUAGAAAUUGAUGGAACGAUGGAGAAAAAACACGAACUGGACUCUAACAAGACCAAACCAGCAACAAGACCUCAACCAGGACACAAACUCAAAACUGCAGACUCUAAAACUGAAAUAUGCAAGGUGUUGACACUUGCUAACACCACUUGAAUACUAGGUUGUCAUCCCCAGCAUGGUACUAGAGUGUACUAUGGUAUUUAUAUGAACACAGAUAUAUCCGCUAGUGCACGGAUACCGUUGUAGCUUUUACCGUGUUAAAGGUUUUAUCGUAUCCAUAAGGAAACGGGAGAACCAACUACUCUCUAACUUAACUAAGAUAGAUAGAUAGGUGUAAAUAGGAAAGAUGAUAGAAAUGAAUAAGAAUAAUAUUAAAGGUAAGAUAACAAUGGGUGAUAAUAUGGGAAUAGAGAGUAGAGCAAUCUAGAUAUGGACGAUAAUAGGAGAAUAGAUAGGAUAACUAGGGUUUCUCCACUUCAAAGGGGUAUGUCUGUCUGUGGCGUACCAUAAGUAUAAAACAACACAGAGGAUGCUUAUACCUAAGGUCGAGGACUCCUACCAGUCCUUCUAAUGGGAGGUGGACUAUAGAGGACUACGUAGCUGUCACCUACACGGCCUACCACACGAUCCGGCUAACAGGGGAUAUCCACAAGUAAUCUAGGCCUAAGCACCACGCUUACACCUAUACUACAACUCUCACCUAUAGCGUCCUAUAGAUUAAAGUACUCAAAAGAGUUGUGAACCAGAACAUACAUGGAUAGUAAUUGCAUAAUGAAAUAGAAGUAGAUUACCAGAGUCAUCCCAUGAGCAAGCUUGAUUAGAGCUUGAUCAUGGCGAAGUACAAUCGGAGGAAGAACCGAUAGGCCGGCCUCUCCUACAAUCCUCCCUCGCUCUCCAUCUCGCUACUAUCUAGAUCUACUCUAGUUUAGAGAUGAGAGGAGAGCUCUCAUCUCCAAACCCUAUCUUUUGCUCUGUCUAUGAAUAAUGAAUAAGGAUUUAGAGGUCGUCUCCUCCAAGGGCCAGAUGGCUUACUUAUAUAGCCCUUCCAAAUGAACAUGGGCCGUCGGAUCAAACCGACCUUCAUCGCACGGUUUUCCUUGAUCCUCAAAGGCAGUAGAGCAUAAUCCGCGAGGCUCGGCCUGAUUGGCUGCUGAGCCAGGGCAAGCGCCCUAGGGGGGAGGGCGGGCGCCCUGUCCCCGGGCCCGCUCGGCCUCCCGUUCGUUCUCAUGGCUUUUGGACUCUUCUAGAUGAGAGAAAAUUGGCGCACACAUUAAUAUCUCUAUGUAAACCCGACGUGUGGGCCUUUCCUCCAUAUUUCCUGAUAACCCCCUGCCGAAAUAGACAAACACCAAAACUCAUGGAAUUCUGUCAGAUAAAACCCUAAGUCUGGGUGUUGGUUGCAUUUGGAUCCUUUUCUUUAUUUAUUUGAUGAUUAUAUUUGGUACUUAAGGACCGUCAACAACUCCCCCAAGCUUACCUCUUGCUCGUCCCUGAGAAAGGAUGGACUCAAGAGUUUCUGCAGUGGUUUCAUGUCUUAAAGGUACACAUGCGUUCAAACAAGAUCUCAUCUCUAGGUUAGGGUAAAUUGUUAAGAUUUAAACUUACUCAUAUUACCUUCCAUCAUGGGGCUUGUAACCGUCACUUGUGUCUUGAGUAGUUAAAGGAUAGAACGGUCAAGUCCAGCGCCAUGUCUCUUGUUUUUGAUCAACUAUAGCUCUAGAGUUUUGGCAGAUUUUCAAAUAAAACUCAGAGAUUCCUUUGUAUGACUCUCUCAGAUCUCUCUUUUGUUGUAUUUCUGGAUACUUACCAAGGCAGUGAUGGUAUAUGCCUUCUCUCAAAGUAUGUAGUAUUUGUGGUAUAAGGCAUAGUGACAUUGCCUUCUCUCUCACCCUACUCUAAUAAGGCUUGAUAUCUGGAGCUCAUAGGUGGGACAUAAAGUAUACAUACUUACAAGACAUUUAGUGCAUAGUCAAACCAUGGAUCGAGAAGAACAGGUCAAUAAGUCAAAUCAAGAUGUGCAUGUGUGGCGAAUGAAUGGUGUAUGGUGAUGAUGGUGAUAAUGGUGAAAACAAUGGUCAAAGUCUAAUUCUACGUUUGCUCUUUUGAGGGGAUAUAUACCUUACUUGCACUUUGAAACUUUUUGAGGGGAAUGAGAUGCUCUAUAUUUUCUUUUUCUUUUCUCUCAGGUGGGUAUCUUGUACCCCUAAUUCUACUAUUGGACACUUGUCCAUUUUUACCUCUCGUCUCACUUUUUCUUUUUUCGAGGUUUCAGGCACUUGCCCCUUUUUAUUUCCUCGUAUUCAUAUUUUUUUCAGAGCACUCAUCCUCCUAGAAUAAUGUAGCAAGUGGUAGUAACCAAAAUAUCUUGAGCAUUUAUUUCACGAGGAAUAACAGGGAUAGUAUAAUGUUUUUGGCUAUUCUCUCCUAGAUAGGAGUAGAAUAAUUUUAAGUGAAUCUGGAGAUGGAAAUGUGUGGAUGUAUCUGGAUGCGUACUUCUGGACUAGAAGCAGCAUGUAUGAGUGAGCGUGCAAGUGAAUCUUGAUCUUAACCGUAUGACAACCUCCUAAGGGUCUACACAGCUUGACCACACUCAAUGCUCAUUUGUAGUAAAAAGAUGUAAAUGUAUAGUUCAUAGUCUAGCAAGCAUGUAUGUAUGGCCGUGGUGGGAAUUUAAACUCUCAUCAUAUAGGAACUCAUCAUGCAAUAUUUUAAAGAUUUUUAUAGAUAAAAUUCUCUAGAAUUCUAGCAUCUCUAGGAACAGAUAAACAACAGCUCAACCUUCCCAUAUCAUAUCCAUUAACGAUUUAGACUUUAGAUCAAGUACUCUUUCCACAAGUUCAGGUUUAGAGCAAAUCUUAAUUCAUAACAGUCAUGCCUAAACUUGAGAGAGAUUUCAAUUUUGAGAACUAGUCAUGGUAGAGCAACUAUUCAUCAUUUCCAUGUGAGAGCUUAUCAUGAGGGUUCAUAGCAAACUUUAUUUAUUUAUUUAGUAAACUAAGCAA